UAAUAUUGUAGUGAUCUAUCCAUCCAUGUCUUUGUUUGCAAUUAUGGAGCACCCUAGCUUGAGUCAAUCGAGCUCUACUUUUGUCAUUUCGUGAAUCUGGGCAGAUUGUCUACUUGUUAGCGAUUUUGCCGAUGUUGUUGUAGUUGAUCCGUGCAUGCUAUGCUAUUGUUCUUGCCAUUUCUAGCUUGCAUUUUGUGUAUUCUUGAUGGGUGUAUGCUUAGCUUGUCAUGACUUGCUCUGUAGUGAGUGCAUCGAGCUCGUAAACAUGCCUACUUGAUAUCUGUUUUCAGCAUGCUCUAGUUUUCACAGUCUGAGAACUGAUUAUGUUUUUGCCAUGUUCACAUGCUUGCAAUUGUAUUUUCUGAUCCCUUUUGGCUCAAGGUCACUAAGGGACUUUUGUUAAGCUCUUUGAGUAGCUCCAUGAAAUGCUUUACUUUGCCAUGUUCAGGUCCUGUAGCAUAUUGUUUUCAUGCUCCAAAGAGUGCUAUCUGAUCUGAAAUUCCAGACAAGUGUUAAUUUCACUAAGUCUGAAAUCUGUUUGUCAAAUGCAUUUUUGCCAUGCUUGUUUGAACCUGUUAAUGGAUGAAUUGGCCGUAGCUCAGUGCUAGACUUUUGUUAAGCAUCAUGAAUGGAUUCCUGCCAUGUAUUUUGAUGCCAUGUUUGGGUGCUGUAGCAUGUUCAUCUUGUUGCAUUUAGAUGGCUACUUGCUGUAAAUCGCAGAACGUGGUCAUAUUUGAAUCGCUUGCCAUUUCCAAACCGUAACUCCGUUUCUGGCGUUCUUUAUAUCGUUUUCAAGCGAUUUCAUCUCAUCUUUCCAGUGGCACACUUGGAUUUCCAAGUUGGGGCCUGGUUCAUGCACUCCUUGUCAAAUCUUGCAUAUGCAUCCCGCAUUGCAUCCCGCAUAGCAUAUCAUCCUUGCAUCAUAUUGUUUGAGCUUUGCACGUGGUUGAUUGUGUUCCGUUUGCUUGUUUGUCUUGUUUGGGUAGAGCCGGGAGACGAGUUCACUAAUGAGGAGCCCGUUGAGUUUGCUUUCGAGGAUCCAGUCAACUCUGACAACUUUGCAGGCAAGAUGAUCAUACCCUCGAAAUCACUACUAUCUUUGCUUUGCUAGAUGCUCGCUCUUUCGCUAUGCCUAUGCUACGAUGCCUACCACUUUCUUUCAAGCCUACCAAAUUGCCAUGUCAAACCUCUAACCCACUAUGUCCUAGCAAACCGUUGAUUGGCUAUGUUACCGCUUUGCUCAGCCCCUCUUAUAGUGUUGCUAGUUGCAGGUGAAGAUUGGAGACCGUUCCUUGGUGGAACAUUAUUUACUUGUUGGGAUAUCAUUAUAUUAUCUUGUUAUCUUAAUGCAUAUAUAUACUUGGUAAAGGGUGGAAGGCUCUGCCUCUCACCUAGUGUUUUGUUCCACUCUUGCCGCCCUAGUUUCCGUCAUAUCGGUGUUAUGUUCCCGGAUUAACAAGCUAGUCAAGUAGAGGCAUACUAGUGACACUCUGUUUUGUCUAUGUAUUCACACAUGUAUUAUGUUUCCGGUUAAUACAAUUCUAGCAUGAAUAAUAAAUAUUUAUCAUGAAAUAAGGAAAUAAAUAAUGACUUUAUUAUUGCCUCUAGGGCAUAUUUCCUUCAAAUGCAUCUAUAUACUUGGUAAAGGGUGGAAGGCUCGGCCUCUCGCCUAGUGUUUUGUUCCACUCUUGCCACCCUAGUUUCUGUCAUAUCGGUGUUAUGUUCCCGGAUUUUGCAUUCCUUACGCGGUUGGGUUAUAAUGGGAACCCCUUGAUAGUUCGCCUUGAUUAAAGCUUUUCCAGCAAUGCCCAACCUUGGUUUUACCAUUUGCCACCUAGCCUCUUUUUCCCUUGGGUUUCCGGAGCCAGAGGGUCAUCUUAUUUUAAGCCCCCCGGGCCAGUGCUCCUCUGAGUGUUGGUCCAACCGAGUGAUGUCCGGGGCUACCAGGGGCAACUCUGGGCUGGCCUACCCGACGUCUUGCUCAUCCGGUGUGCCCUGAGAACGAGAUAUGUGCAGCUCCUAUCGGGAUUUGUCAGCGCAUCUGGGUGGUGUUGCUAGAUUUGUUUUAACUUGUCGAAGUGUCUUGAAGAACCGAGGUACUGAGUCUGAUCGGAACGUCUCGGGAGGAGGUCUAUUCCUUCGUUGACCGUGAGAGCUUGUCAGGGGCUAAGUUGGGACUCCCCUGCAGGGAUAUGAACUUUCGAAAGUCGUGCCCGCGGUUAUGGGCAGAUGGGAAUUUGUUAAUGUCCAGUUGUAGAUAACUUGAACCUUAAUUUAAUUAAAAUGAAUCAACAGUGUGAGUUACCGUGAUGGUCUCUUCUCGGCGGAGUACGGGAAGUGAACACGGUGUUGGUGUAAUGUUUGUUGGAGGUUGCCCUCUAGUUAUUCGUUCGCGCUUUGCCUCCUCUUCCCGCUCUCUUGUGCGAUCAGGAUAGCCACUAUAUAUGCUAGUCGCUUGCUGCAGCUCCACAUAUUUCCCUUGCCUUACCUAUAAGCUUAAAUAGUCUUGAUCACGAGGGUGAGAGAUUGCUGAGUCCCUGUGGCUCACAGAUUACUUCCAAACCAGAUGCAGGGCCUGAUGAUUCCACUCCAGGUGACGCGCUUGAGCUCAAGUGGGAGUUCGACGAGGACUCUCAACGAUACUACGUGUCUUUCCCUGAUGAUCAGUAGUGGUGCCCAGUUGGGGGUGAUCGGGACCGUGUCGCAUGUUGGGUUUAUCUUUCAUUUUGGCGCCAUAGUCGGGCCAUGAGUGUUUGGAUGUUGUAAUGCUAUUUAUGUACUUUGAUUGACGUGGCGAGUGUAAGCCAACUAUGUAUCUCCCCUUUAUUAUUUAUAUUACAUGGGAUGUUGUGAUGAUUGCCUAACUUGCGACAUUUCUUUCAAUGCGGUUAUGCCUCUAAGUCGUGCCUCGACACAUGGGAGAUAUAGCCGCAUCGAGGGCGUUACAAGUUGGUAAUCAUAGCCUUCCCCGACCUUAGGAGCCCCAUUGCUUGAUCGUUUUUAGCGGCCGAGUUGUGUCUAGAAAAAUGUUUUGAGUCAUUUAGGAAUUAUAUAUCAGAGAGUUUAGGAAUUCUUUUUUACUUCCCAGUCUCCUCAUCGCUCUGGUAAGGCAUCCUGGCGUAGAGUUUUGACUCUUCUAUUCUCAAAUUUCACUAAAAAAAUUUAGGAUCACGCGGGUAUCUUGGAAUCGUUCCGAUGGUUUUAUGACGAGAACAUUGUCUUGGUGCCUCCUGUCAGGGGUUUUGUGGAAGUGUCCCGGGGAGUUGAGCUCCGAGGUGUUGUCGUCAUAAUUUUAUCGUUGCAGUUAUGGAAUACCUGAGUUUAGUACGCCGACAUUGAAGAUCUCUUUUAUGCAGUUCGUUGGUGAGAUAACCUCGAUGCCACCCAGUACUGGGGCGGGAGUUUGGGAGUAUCGCCAUAACUUGUAUAACGGAUGCUUUUCGAAGGUUGAGGUAGAUGGUUUCCGAAGUUUUUCUCGGUUAUGUGUUGAAGGAUGGAUACAGCUGGAUGUAGGAUUUGCUAGAUUUGGUUGAGAUAUUAUGCUUCCCCUGUAUCCCCAACACCUGAUUGCAUAACCGGAAAGGUUCGGGAGUUUCAUAGGUGGGAAUUCUCGUAGCUCUAGUUCUUCUUCCACGGAUAUUUGGUUUGAGAUUGGGAUUUCUUACCGAGUAUUCGUUCUUGAUCCGUACCUUGUUGAUUUAUUUCUCUACCUGAAUUCUAAGUGGCUUCUCAAUUUAUGGAUAUGUGACCAUUUCAAGAGGAAUGCAUUCGUUCAUUUUGUUCGGAUGUGAAAGUUUUGAGAAUGUCAAAAGUAUGAAACAAUUGCUUGGCUUGUUAUCGGGGUUGUGCAUGAUUUAAAUAUUUGUGUGGUGAAGAUAGAGCAUAGCCAGACUAUAUGAUUUUGUAGGGAUAACUUUCUUUGGCCAUGUUAUUUUGAAGAGACAUAAUUGCUUAGUUAGUAUCCUUGAAGUAUUAUUAUUUCUAUGUCAAUAUUGAACUUUUGUCUUGAAUCUUUCGGAUUUGAAUAUUCAUACCACAAUUAAGAAGAAUUACAUUGAAAAUAUGCCAAGUAGCAUUCCACAUCAAAAAUCCUGUUUUUAUCAUUUACCUACUCGAGGACGAGCAGGAAUUAAGCUUGGGGAUGCUUGAUACAUCUCCAACGUAUCUAUAAUUUUUGAUUGCUCCAUGCUAUAUUAUCUACUGUUUUGGACAUUAUUGGGCUUUAUUAUACACUUUCAUAUUAUUUUUUGAGAAUUGCAGUUUUUUUGCCUAUUUUAGGGUUUCGAAGAAAAGGAAUAUCAAACGAAGUCCAAACGGAAUGAAACCUUCGGGAACGUGAUUUUUGGAACGAACAAGACCCAGGAGACUUGGACCCUAUGUCAAGCAACCAACAGGGAGGCCACGAGGUAGGGGGCGCCUACCCCCCCAGGCGCGCCCUCCACCCUUGUGGGCCCCCUGUUGCUCCACCGACGUACUUCUUCCUCCUAUAUAUACCUACGUACCCCCAAACGAUCAGAUACGGAGCCAAAAUCCUAAUUCCACCGUCGUAACUUUCUGUAUCCACGAGAUCACAUCUUGGGGCUUGUUCCGGAGCUCCGCCGGAGGGGGCAUCAAUCAUGAAGGGCUUCUACAUCAACACCAUAGCCUCUCCGAUGAAGUGUGAGUAGUUUACCUCUGACCUACGGGUCCAUAGUUAUUAGCUAGAUGGCUUCUUCUCUCUUUUUGGAUCUCAAUACAAAGUUCUCCCCCUCCCUUGUGGAGAUAUAUUCGAUGUAAUCUUCUUUUGUGGUGUGUUUGUUGAGACCGAUGAAUUGUGGGUUUAUGAUCAAGUUUACCUAUGAACAAUAUUUGAUUCUUCUCAGAAUUCUUUUAUGUAUGAUUGGUUAUCUUUGCAAGUCUAUUCGAAUUAUCAGUUUGGUUUGGCCUACUAGAUUGAUCUUUCUUGCAAUGGGAGAAGUGCUUAGCUUUGGGUUCAAUCUUGUGGUGUCCUUUCCCAGUGACAGUAGGGGCAGCAAGGCACGUAUUGUAUUGUUGCCAUCGAGGAUAACAAGAUGGGUUUUUUUUAUCAUAUUGCAUGAAUUUAUCCCUCUACAUCAUGUCAUCUUGCUUAAAGCGUUACUCUAUUAUCUUGAACUUAAUACUCUAGAUGCAGGCUGGAUAGUGGUCGAUGUGUGGAGUAAUAGUAGUCGAUGCAGGCAGGAGUCGGUCUACUUGUCUUGGACGUGAUGCCUAUAUACAUGAUCAUACCUAGAUAUUCUCAUAACUAUGUUCAAUUCUGUCAAUUGCUCAACAGUAAUUUGUUCACCCACCGUAAAAUACCUAUGCUCUUGAGAGAAGCCACUAGUGAAACCUAUGGCCCCCGGGUCUAUCUUCAUCAUAUUAAUCUUCCAAUACUUAGUUAUUUUCAUUGCUUUUAUUUUACUUAGCAUCUUUAUCAUAAAAAUACCAAAAAUAUUAUCUUAUCAUAUCUAUCAGAUCUCACUCUCGUAAGUGACUGUGUAGGGAUUGACAACCCCUUAUCGCGUUGGUUGCGAGGACUUACUUGUUUUGUGUAGGUGCGAGGGACUCGCGUGUAGCCUCCUACUGGAUUGAUACCUUGGUUCUCAAAAACUGAGGGAAAUACUUAUGCUACUUUGCUGCACCACCCUUUCCUCUUCAAGGGAAAACCAACAUAAGUGCUCAAGAGGUAGCAGUCGAUGUGGCUUGGCUCAACGCUGCCCGAACGGACACGUCAAACUGAAGCCAAACAGAGACCAGCUCCAGGCACCCAGCCGCCAGGAGGGGUUCGGCGCCCUGAAGAUCUUCUCUCAGCCGGGCCAUCUCAGAAAGGGCCCGCUCUAGGACGUCAGGAGAAGCAGAGGAACCUGGGGUCAGCAGCACGGCAGAAGGAGGAGGAAGGAGCGUCGUCAUCACCAUGGCCUGGGAGGCAGGAGGCUCGUGAGCCCAUGGGACCCCAGCACCUGAGCCUGACGUUGGUGACGGUGUCCUGGACUAGGGGGUACUCACCACGUAGUCUCCCGACCGGAUGGAUCGGGACGAGGACCCUCAUGGCGGUUCACUCAUGGGCCACUUCGGGCAGCCCAUGCCGCACAUGAGGAAGAUUCCACAAGACUUGAUGAUCAAGACAAGGACUCCUCUCCACCAACGUAUUUGACUAGGACUCUUCUUAUCCUAGGCCUCCGGUACAUUAUAUAAACCGAGGCUAGGCUAGUCGUUAGAUGAUUAUGACACAUGCCUCAUACCCUCAGGUUUUAGACCACAACAUAUGAUCUCGCGGUAGAUCAACUCUGUACUUGAUACUCCAUUAAUAUAAACAAGAGCAGGACGUAGGGUUUUACCUCCAUAAAGAGGGCCUGAACCUGGGUAAAACAUAAUUUCCUUCGUUCCUGUUGCCAUUGAUCCGAGAAUCCACAGCUCGAGACCCCCUACCCCAAGAUUUGCUGGUUUUGACACCUACAAUGGUGCUUUCAUUGAGAGUUCCGCUAUGAGAUCGACAAAGGAUCAAUGGCUCGCCUGCAAAUCAACUGCGCCAUCGGCAUCUUCGUUAUCGGCUCGACUUGUCACCUUGGCUUGACCAAGGACUGUGCCCUGCCUCCAAUCGUCAUGUUUGGACGAGGGCCUUCAUUAAACAUCAACUCCGAUCUUUAUCAUGAUCAUGGAGGAAUCAUCCUUGGAGCUCUGGGGCUCAACAUCAACAUUGCCCUCGGGCGACCAUGCUGUUCUUCCUGACAACAAACUUGUAUCCGCUGUCACCACCUCCUUGGACAUCGCUUUGACGAUUUAUUUCAGUGGAAUUCUGCGGAAUUGAGUCUACAACAACCCUGUAAAAUUUCGCCGCGUUCCAAAGGAGCAAUCUCCAUCGAUCUCCGAUAUACCGGACCCCUGUCGAGUCUGGACGGGAAUCAGGACGAGUUUAGGGUGUGGUCUCCAGAGCCCAGCUCGGGGGUUAUUUGGAAGAUCCAACCGUUCAUCUACUGUGGAAUUUCCAUAUCUACCACCUCUCAAAAUUUCAGCUCGAUCCGACCGUUCAAACUCCGGAAUCUUUUCGAUUAGUGCAUCACAUUUUAGAUCUGUUUUCUGCGUGAAUACGAAUCUGACCUGAGAUUAUCUCUCUUCAUGAACGAGAUAUUGGACAACCUUUUUGGAAGAAUCUGUUUCUAUGGUAUUGUGUUUUGUUUCUGAACACAUGCUCACGAAUUUUGCUCCUUUUCGGAGGUAAUCUUCACCAUCAUGUUGGUGUCAAACCAGUCCGGCAAUAUUACUUCACGGCUGCCGACCUGCACUAGACAUGUCGUAGCUUUGUUGUGUCACGACCCCGAUUCCAAGUCACAUCGAUCUAGCCGGUAACACCUCAUAUCACAUUGCGGCCUCACGCACGGUAUCCCCACGGGUGUCGCCUUACCAUGGCCCGGGACCGUUUGCGCCUUUUGGCUCACGUAUAUGAUAGUGUCGCUAGCAUCGAUAUGACAGAGAACCCGGGCUGACAUGGCUAGUCGUGAACCCAAAGCGGCACAGACCUAUGGAGACAGGCAUACGUGAACCAUAUUGAGCAUGUCGGUCAUUAGCGUGUGAAUCCGGGCUAUAGCACUGGGCUAACAGGACUCCGGGGAACCCGGGCUGUAGCAGGCUAGGCAGGACUCUGGAUGUCACCGCGUGACAUUUCCCUGAAGGGACAGACAUAGGAACGAAGUGAAAGACAAGCCGGCCAGUCAAGUGUCCUGAGCAGUAGUGAUGGUCUAGCAGGACUCCAGUGAACCGGGCUGUAGCGGACUACUAUGGCUCGAGGAGCACUAGACUACAUUUCCCCAUAAGAAAGGCUGCCAAGGAUAAACAACUAGAUUGUCGGAUCCCACGCAUACCAAGCAUUUCAAUCAUACACACAAUAUGCUCGAUAUGUGCAAAUACAACAUGGCAUCACAACAAAACUCUACAACUCAAGUACUUUAUUUAAAGGCUCCAGAGAGCCAUACAUAACAUGUUCAUACAGGUGGGGUCACAUGACCCGACACUCAAGUCAUACAAGCAUACAAGCACAUGCGGAAGCAAGUAGUCUGAGUAUAGACACUAGAAAGCAAGAAGGCUUCUCGAAGCCUGUCUAUCUACAUAGGGCCCUUCAUGGCCAGGAUCACCACCUGGGUGGCAAGUUACUCAUCGACGUCGAGGUCUACAUAAAACCCAUCGGAGGGGGCGGUGUUGUCGUCUGAAAACAGUAAUUAGCAAACAUGAGUUCAAAGGUACUCAGCAAGUCUUACAUCAGAACCUACUAUACAUGCUCAUUCUCAAGAAGGUGGUGGGGUUAUUGCAGCAAGCCAGCUUUGACUCUUGGCUAAGCGAUCAUAUGGAACACCACUAGUAAAAUAGCUUUCGCACACGAGUCCACUAAUCACCAACACAAUACUCCACCGGGGAUCCUCCCUCAUCAUCCUACGAGAGAGCCAUCCUCGGUACUCACACUUAUCUUGAGUAUUUUAGUAGUAUCCAUUAACUUGUCUAUGAACUGUAUAGGAAACCAAGUAGUCCUUUAUCGCGGACGCGGCUAUUUGAAUAGUUUUAUACCCUACAGGGGUGUACUUCUUCAUACACGCUUUCACCACUUACCGCCGUUUACAUGACAUGUACUCGGAAACCUUCAAGCGGAAGCCCAACGAGGGUGUCGGCCACGGCCUACCUAAACACUCAAGCCUCUAGUCCAGGUUUAUCGCCUAUCCAGGUUCCAUCCGUAGGGAGUCCGGCCGAGGUUUCCACAUACGGCCCCGAACGAUGUGAAUAGGGUUCUCGAGACACCAAACAGGUGACUCGGUACACCGUGCCAUGGUGUAUCUACCGCAACAUAGCCCACCCCUAGGGUCAGCGCUACGCACGUCCGCCAACACAUAACCUACAAACACCAGAAACUAUUUGCAACUCCUGGACAGAGUACUAGGGUGAUUAAGAAGCCGAGAGGGUCCAUUGGUUUUGCGCCCAAUGUAUGGUAGUAACUGAAUCUUAAAUCACAUAUACAGAUCUCAGUUCCUAUGGACAGCCUCAAUGAAACAACCCACCAUGUACUCCUACAUGGCCUCUCAUCGAUACCUUUACCAAAUCAUGUUCAACACAUCCCUCACAUUACCAACAUAAUCAUUUCACUCUGCCCAUCACCCAUAUGAACCAGACCUGACACAACUCUAAGCAUAGCAGGCAUAGCAAGGUAGGAAACACAUACAUGGCUCAAUCAACUCAUACACAUACUAGUGGAUUUCAUCUAGUUACUGUGGCAAUGACAGGUCAUGCAGAGGAUAAGGGUUCAACUACCAUAGCACACAGCAGUUUUAAUCGCGUUGUCUUAAUGCAGUAAACAAGAGCAAAAGCGAGAACAUGGGUUUGUAUCAGAAUGAUCAAUGGGUUGCUUGCCUGAUGUAGUGGUAGUAGGGUACUGCCCUUCAGACGGAUACUCGGGGUUAUCCUCGGAGGCAGAACCUACCACGAAAGACACACCGAACAUAAUCAACACAUGACGAUAUGCAACAAUAUGAUGCAUGCUAUGACAUGGCAAAAUGAUUGUGUCUUGGCCUAAUGCAAGCUAAAACAGAAAGGAAUGAACUCAUUUGAAUCAAAGAUUCAAAUGUUAGUUCAUUUAACAUAGCCUUAUUAGUGCAUUAUCUUAUUUUGCUUAAACAACAAGGUUAACUUGUUUUGUCAUGCAUGAAACCAUUACAGAUGAAUAGAUUGAAUUUUUCUGAUCAUUUUUCAUAUAUAAAUUGUUUGAUUUGGAGCUAUGGUUGAUUUUCUAUGAUUUUUAGAAGCUUUGGCUAUUUUCUGGAAUUUCCUAUUAAGGAAUAAAUCCAGAAAAGAAUUUACUGCGUCAACAUUGCGUCAGAGUGACGUCAGCGAGUCAAAGGCGCCAGGGCCAGUCAAACCUGACCAGUGGGCCAUGUCUGUCAGUGUCUCAGCUAAUUAACAGGAUUAAGUUAGUACUAAUUAACUGUCAGUGGGGCCUGGGCCCACAUGUCAGUGACUAAACUAAUUAAAAUUAGUUAACACUAAUCCUAAACUAAUUAGCAGGCCGGCCCACCUUUCAUAGGCUCAGGGGGGAAGUCAACCUAGGCCCACGCGUCAGUCCAUGGUCAAAAGUGGUCAAGCUCGCCGGCGUUUAGCCGCCGGCGAGGCCAGACGCGGCUGCGCAGCGCGGGUUUUUGCACUUCGGUGACCAAAAGGACGGCGGAGACCAUCUACGUGAUGCGGGGAGUGAGCCGCGUCGAGUGGUGGCAGUGGGUGGAGCUGGGGUGGCUGGAAACGACGGCGGCGAGCACGUCCGCGACGGCUGGAGUUCGGGCGAGGUCGAACUAGUCGCUAGCAGGCACGGCGAGGGGCGUGCGGGGGUGCUACGGGCUCCUGCGAGUGCGUUGAAGACGAUGGCGUGCUCGGUUGCGACCCAACAUGGCUGUGGCCACGACGGUGACGUGCGGUGGCGGCGGCGAGCUUCGGCUCCGAUGGCCAUGGUGGUUAGGGGACGCGGACGAGCGCGGGGAGAGGGGGAAACGGUGGCGGAGCUCAUAGCGGUCACGAAGAGGGGCUCGGCUUGCUCGGAGACGGCUUGGCGACGGUGAAUCCGGCGAUGGAGUCCGGUGGCCGUUCUCGGGGAAGACGACUCGUGGAGGCGAUGUGGGGCUCCUGCGGUGGCGUGGCUCGGGUUGGAAGGAAGAGGGGGUCGAGGCGGAGCCUCUAGGCCGGUGAGAGAAGCGAGGGAGAGGCGGUGGCCGCGGUGGUGCUUGUCGGCAGCGACGGCUGCACUCGGCAGGGGAUGGGGAGAGAACCAGAGGAGGGAGAGGGGCACAGGGAGAGUGGGGAGAAUGAGAGGGGAACGAGAGGGAGUGCGUGGCACUCGUAGGCGCGCCCGGGGCGUCGGCAGAAGCAGGAGGUGGCCGGCGUGUGGCCGCGGGCGCCGGCCACGCGCCUCUCGUCCUCCUGGCGAGAGGAGGAGGACGACUGGCAGGAGCCAGUGGGCUGGGCCGACCUGGUGGGCUAGGUGGGCUGUGCCAGGUAAGUCUCUGUUCUCUCUCUCUUUUUCUAUUUUUCAUUUAUUCUAUUAUUUCUAUAACUUCAGGGCUUUGUUAAAAAUGCCAGGGCAUUUCCAAAAAUCAUAAAAUUAAUCAUGGCUACUGCUUAGAAUAUAUCCAACAGCAAACAUUUUAGUUUAUGAUUAUUUGAGCAUUUGAAAUAUUUUAUAGCAUUUAAAUGCCCAAAUGCAAAUACUAUAAGAAUUAAUCCAAUGACCUUAAGAUGUCCUAGAAAAAUGUGCAAUAUUUUUGUCAAAGGUUUUAACCCAAAACAAAAAGGGUGGGCUUUUUAGAAGGGCAUUUCAGGUUCAUAGAAAAAGUUUUUUAGUAAACCCUAGUUGUUCCAGGGGGGUGCUGGGGGUUCUGUCAUCCCCAUUUCAGUUUUCUGGGAAUUUAAACUUGAUGCACAUGUUCAACCAAACCUAAUGCAUGACUAACACAGGGAUGUGAAAUGUUGAGCCGAGCCCAACUUCUUCGGAUCAUCAUGUCAGCGAGCCGAACAAAGAGUUCGGAAUCACAAAGGAUAAAUCAUCACCAACAUCGCCACCCUACGAUCGCACGGAGCGGGCACACCGACAUCGCCGCAUGGUCACUUCAUCAAGCCGGCAUUGACCGCGUCACAAGUUACGACCUGCAUCGGCAUGGCUGCACUGUUGCUUCUUCAAGCCGAUGUCCAUCACGCCGAACUGUUUCAACACCUCAGCUGACACGACAGCUGCAACGUCUCCUUACGGACCCGCUCCGUCACCUCGGCUGGACUGGGGGCUUCACCAUAUCUUCAUCAAACCUACUCUGGUGACUUCGGCGUCACCAGCCGACCUGCUUCGACUCAUCGGCUGACAUGGAGGCUUCGACACCUCGGCUGGAUCGAGGAUGUUGCUAUUUCUUCAUCAACAUACUCCGGUGACUCCGGCGUCACCAGCCGACCAGCUUCGUCAUGUUAGCUUGAUCGGGGGCUUUGUCUCGGCAAGCUGCUACCUCUUUUAGCACUGCGUUGGUUUUCCCCAAAGAGGAAGGGAUGAUGCAUCAAAGUAGCGUAAGUAUUUCCCUCAGUUUUUGAGAACCAAGGUAUCAAUCCAGUAGGAGGCUACGCGCGAGUCCCUCGCACCUGCACAAAACAAAUAAAUCCUCGCAACCAAUGCAAAUAGGGGUUGUCAAUCCCUAUAGGGCCACUUACGAGAGUGAGAUCUGAUAGAUAUGAUAAGAUAAUAUUUUUGGUAUUUUUAUGAUAAAGAUGAAAAGUAAAAUGAAGGCAAAGUAAAUAGCAAAGUAAAUAAGUAAGUAGUAGGAGAUUGAUAUGAUAAAGAUAGACCCGGGGGCCAUAGGUUUCACUAGUGGCUUCUCUCGAGAGCAUAAGUAUUCUACGGUGGGUGAACAAAUUACUAUUGAGCAAUUGACAGAAUUGAGCAUAGUUAUGAGAAUAUCUAGGUAUGAUCAUGUAUAUAGGCAUCACGUCCGAGACAAGUAGACCGACUCCUUCCUGCAUCUACUACUAUUACUCCACUCAUCGACCGCUAUCCAGCAUGCAUCUAGAGUAUUAAGUUAAAAACAGAGUAACGCCUUAGGCAAGAUGACAUGAUGUAGAGGGAUAGACUCAUGCAAUAUGAAGAAAACCCCAUCUUGUUAUCCUCGAUGGAAACAAUACAAUACGUGCCUUGUUGCCCUUACUGUCACCGGGAAAGGACACCGCAAGAUUGAACCCAAAGCUAAGCACUUCUCCCAUUGCAAGAAAGAUCAAUCUAGUAGGCCAAACCAAACUGAUAAUUCGAAGAGACUUGAAAAGAUAACCGGUCAUACAUAAAAGAAUUCAGAGAAGAUUCAAAUAUUAUUCAUAGAUAGACUUGAUCAUAAACCCACAAUUCAUCGGUCUCAACAAACACACCGCAAAAAGAAGAUUACAUCGAAUAGAUCUCCACAAGAGAGGGGGGAACAUUGUAUUGAGAUCCAAAAAGAGAGAAGAAGCCAUCUAGCUACUAACUAUGGACCCGAAGGUCUGAGGUAAACUACUCACACUUCAUCGGAGGGGCUAUGGUGUUGAUGUAGAAGCCCUCCAUGAUCGAUGCCCCUCCGGCGGAGCUCCGGAACAGGCCCCAAGAUGGGAUCUCGUGGAUACAGAAAGUUACGGCGGUGGAAUUAGGGUUUUGGCUCCGUAUCUGAUCGUUUCGGGUACGUGGGUAUAUAUAGGAGGAAGAAGUACAUCGGUGGCGCAACAGGGGGCCCACGAGGGUGGAGGGCGCGCCUGGGGGGCGGGGUAGGCGUGCCCCCUACCUCGUGGCCUCCUGUUACGUGUCUUGACAUAGGGUCCAAGUCUCAUGAGUUGUAUGCGAUGAGAACAUCACGUUCCCGAAGGUUUCAUUAUGUUUGGACUCCAUUUGAUAUUCCUUUUCUUCGAAACCCUAAAACAGGCAAAAAAUAGCAAUUCUAGGCUGGGCCUCCGGUUAAUAGGUUAGUCCCAAAAAUAAUAUAAAAGUGGAUAAUAAAGCCCAAUAAUGUCCAUAACAGUAGAUAAUAUAGCAUGGAGCAAUCAAAAAUUAUAGAUACGUUGGAGAUGUAUCACAAGCCAACAUUUGCCAGCAUCGCCAUGCCGUCGCUUUAUCGCCCAUCAGACAAUGGGUGUGCGGAUCGAGUCCCAAUUUUGGGAGUCACCUUUCUUCGGAUUGCUACAAAAAAUAAACUAGGUGCUAUUAAUCCUAGUAAUUUUUGCUUGUUUUGGUUUAUUUUUCUCGAGGAAUUAUUACUCUGCUUUGUUCCAUCAUCUGUACACAGGUCUAUCAAAUGGUGGCCGCAUUAACGACGGUAGCGUGGUGGUUCAGCUUUGCCACGUCUUUACCGCAUCACGCCGACGCCCUGCAUCGACAUUGACUUCAGUGCCAGGCCACGUGUGUAGGUAAUCGACUUCGACUGCAUCACGUGGUCACUUCGGCAAGCCGACGUCAUCGUCCCAAUCGGCCUAAAUCGGCUCGCGUGAUCACCUUGUUGGUUGAAUUGCUAUACCGACAUGUUCGGUUGCCUCAGGACUUCGGCAUCGCUAAGAGAGCUCUACCUCAUCGAGUGUUCGGCACACAUGCCAUAUUUCUUUUAUUACUCACUUUGCAUAAAUUAUUAAUUAUGCAACAAAGUUUUUCAAUUUAUUAUUAUUACUAUUAUCUCCGGCUUGCACUAUUUCCUGUGCAUAGGUAAAUGAUCCGCGUCGGGCAGUGUUGUCACCUUGGUUGGACUGGGGCCUUCGUCCUCACUUCAUUAAACCACGUCGAGGAAUUCGGCGUCACUCUGCCGGCCUUUAUUGCUAUGCUAUGUCACCACUCCGGAGUGCCGAGCUCUUCGAUCUGCCACCUCGGGACCGGCUUGGGGGCUGGGACCUCAUCCCGAUGUAAGCUCGGACUGCGUCAUCAAUGCCAAACACAAGAACCAGCUAAGUCGCUCUUAUGCUCAAAGUUUUAAAAAUUUAAAUUUUGUUCGGUUCGACCAAGCAUUAUACUUUUUUGGCAAAGAGUUGUUUGUGAAAAACUUCCUUGUCAAAACUUUGUUUGUGACACACAAAUUCAAAUACCCCGUUUACUUGGGGGCUUCCUUUAUGAAGCCUUCCAUCUUGCAUAUGAUUAUACUUGUACGGCUUCGUUCCUUAUUUGUGUAUUACGCCACAAUAUGCACCAUGUUGACUUAAGUGUUCCGCAAGCUGGGUUGCCUUGCUCCUGUGUUUACCCCUACGUUCCCGAUUGUUCGGCUAGGGAGUAAAGGGAGCACCUCUGCGAUUGUCACGAUCAGGUCAUUCGAGCUUGGACCUCAUACUGGGUGAAGUCGAAAGCUAGCGCUCUUAUUGUUUUCAAUCAUGGUCGGCACACAAUGGAACUCAUGAGUACAAAAAUCUAUUGCACAAGUCUCAUAGUAACAAUGAGCAACCGAAUAAAGGUAUCGAUGGGGGUACUAUUUUCUUCGAAGAUGCUUCUUACACUUCGUCAGUAAUAUAGCAUAAGUUCCCUGAGUGCGCUUUGUCUGUUACAGCCUUAUGGCCUGAUUGCCUGGUUAUCAGAAGCACCAUCGAUAUUCUUGACAGGUGGAGUACAUAGCACUUUUCAGCCCUUGACCGAAGAGGGAGAAGUCGACGGUCGGUUAAGACAUGUUUAAAAGUUCGGGUGAACACAUAUAUGAUAUAAGUACUUCGGUACAUACAAUCAUUAUACAUAAAAUUAUUUUACCCAAGUUUACUGGGGGCUCUUAAAUUUAUAUGAGCCAUUUUAUAGUAAAUGUGUUUUCUUCCUAGUCGUUGCCAAAUCUUUUUCUAUCACUCCUUUUUCGACGCGAGUGCGUGGUCAAUAGCCGGAUAGCCCAUUUUCUCUCUAGUGACCGCUCGAGUUUAGUUCGGUAAACUGGUCUAACGAGCAAUACUCCACCUUCGGGAUAGGAGAUUGCAGCCAUAGGCUGGCCCGCUUGAUGUCUUGAUAUGGGAUGUGUCAUAUUAAUGCACGACAGAAGCGCAAAAGUAAGACCAAUUUUUGGAUUGGCACCAAAUGACUUGAUUUAGUUAGGGCGUAUAGUUUUUACUGAAGUUUUUUGGUUUUCAAGCCUAUGUCACUUUUAAACUAUUUGUUUUUUCCAACAUAAGUCUCAUAGUGCAGCGCUGGACACCUUUAGAGAUUCGGCACAAAAAUUCUCGGAUAUUUCUAUAUAUGCAUCGGUUUUGAAUUGUGUCUUUGGUCAACAGUUGGGUUGCCCGGCUCCUGUGCUUGCCUCCUACGUUUCGCUUCGUUUGGCUAGGUGUGCAAAGGGAGAACCACUACGAUUGUGCUUCCAACUCGAAUGGUUAAGCACCUCAGUGGAGAAAGCCGAAAACUGACUGUCACAAUGGGCGUAAACUGGUCAGUGAUCUGAUGACGGUAUCAAACUAUAGAUCAAUACCGAUUCCCCCGUGUUAAACGAUGGGCCUUUCAUAACAUUGGCCGAAGUGAUAAUGGCUAGACUUCGGUCGAUGCCGAACACUAACCGAGGGCUCGUAGCUAGCUUCCCCAGUUUAAAGCUCCUAUGACUAAGUGAAAGUUAUAAAGCCCACAUAUCUAAUUGCCUCGUUUCUGCUAACACAACCGCCUUCGGGCACCGAGAUGUCGGCUCAAGGUUGUCUUGUUAUUGCGGAAACACCCUGCGUAGCAUCUCAAGGGGGUGGAAGCCGACGAUGGGCCACUUUCAAGUGAUAAAUGGUCGCAACAAAGUCAAAAUAAAUAUAUCAUCGACGUUCGUAUUUUAUAUACGAGGGCUACCUUCCGUAAUCAUCAUUAUAAAGCCGUAAAUAUGCAUCAAUUUGACUUAAGAUUUUGGCCAAGCUGGGUUGCCUGGCUCCUGUGCUUACCCCUACGUUCCCGAUUGUUCGGCUAGGCGGUAAAGACAACACCUCUGUGAUUGUUACUACCGGGUCAUCCGAGUUAGUACCUCAGACUGGGUGAAGCCGAAAGAUAGUGAUCUUAAAGGAUAUAAUUGGUUAGCAACGACGGAAGUGAAAAUUUUGGUUCAUUAAUACCAUAGAGUUCGGGAACUUUCCCCGAACUAAAUCCUCAAUAUUUUCCUCCCACAUUGAUUGGAGGUGAGGUUUGAUGAUCACGAUCAGCAUGAAAACCCAAAGAAAGGAACCGAUACCGGGAUUAUUUGCUUUGGAAGAUGUUUCAUAUCUCUCUGUGUACCUUUGUUUAUAAAACCGUAUGGCCGGAUUGCCUUGUUUUCCAUAAACCUUUGCCCUUAUAAUGGCUUUAUAAAGUAGGACAAACACUCCCCGGCUUUUGGCCGAGGAGGUUGAAGCCGAUGGUCGGUCAACAAAGUUUUGUACAAUGCGGAUCCGAGCAUUAAUGAUGUAAAGUACUUGGAUAGGUAGAAUCAUUACACAUAAUUUGUGAUUUUACUCUGGAUAUCGAUCCUUAAUUCGGCCACCCAUGCCCACAUUAAGGCUCGGGGGCUGCUGGGCUUCGGGCUUAUCAUUCACUAAUAUUAAAAGGGGCAUAUCAAUCCCCUGAUCUCGUGUUGCCACCAGACCAGUGUCUUGGGGGCUACUGAUUUGCCUAUUCAAUGCAGAAAAUUCAAAGUGCUCAGUGUUCGGCUGGACCGAACUAUGGGCAAACGCGUCUUGAAACAACAAUAAGUACCAUGUGGGACAUAUCCCGCAUCAAGCUAAUAUAUUACGACAACUUCUCAAAACCCUCUCUCAAGGGUCCGUCCGCCGAUCACUAUUACCUCUAAUAUAUUACACUGUGUUUCUAUUAAUAUGAAUGUUGUCGAUCUAGGAGUUGAUCCUCUUCACGACCUGAGUCUCAAAAGCUACUAGGAUCAACGGUUUCAUAUUUUCCUUCAGGUGCAUCUCAGAUUUUAGGCCGACAGACACCUUGAGGGCUACUAGCCAUACAUCUCGUCAGCAAAUAAAUUUAUACACAUCGGAAAUGAAAUCCGCAAACAAUCAGGCCAUGACCGAGGUGUUCAGCCACCUCGGAAGCAGUUCGGCAUAUAGCUCGGAUGCAAGUGGCUCGCUCCUCAGAGGACAUUUCCGGCAUUAAGCUCGGCUAAAACUUUUUCAAGACCAAGGUAAUCUAUGACACCUCGGAUACAGUCCAGAGUUGGAGCUCGGAUACAUUCCAGCGUUGAAGCUCGGAAGCGGUUCGGCGUUGGCGCUCGGGUGCAAAAGAUACCUCAAAUGCAGUCCGGCGUUGGAGCUCGGACGCAAGAGGACACCGCCGCACGGGAAACACUUCAAACACGAGGUGGGCGUAAAAUAACAAGGCAUUGAUAACGGCCGAUAACUUAAAGGGGCUCCUCAGGAUACCCGACGUGUAAACUCUUUGGAUUUACUUCGGAGAUCCUCAUGAUCGAAGAUAAGAAGAUUUGUUGAACCAGUUUUCAAGACCGACGACCGAAGAUGAAGAACAGUUCGGAAGAAUCGAGGAGCAUCCCCCACAUGAAGACCGGUUCAGGGGGGCUACUGACGAUGUCCUGGACUAGGGGGUACUCACCACGUCAUCUCCUGACCAGCUGGAUCGCGCCGAGGACCCCCCAUGUCCGUUCACUCAUGGGCCACUUUGGGCAGCUCAUGCCGCACAUGAGGAAGAUUCCACAAGACUUGAUGAUCAAGAGAAGGACUCCUCUCCACCAACGUAUUUGACUAGGACUCUUCUUAUCAUAGGACUCUUGUACAUUAUAUAAACCGAGGCCGGGCUAGUCGCUAGAUGAUUAUGACAUAUUCCUCAUACCCUCAGGUUUUAGACCACAACAUAUGAUCUCGCGGUAGAUCAACUCUGUACUUGAUCAUCCAUUAAUAUAAACAAGAGUAGGACGUAGGGUUUUACCUCCAUCAAGAGGGCCUGAACCUGGGUAAAACAUCGUCUCCUUCGUUCCUGUUACCAUUGAUCCCAGAAUCCAUAGCUCGGGACCCCCUACCCCGAGAUCUGCCAGUUUUGACACCGACAGUUGGCACCUCCGGGACCAGCGCGGCCUCGGGGGCUGACUUCUCCCGAGGAUGCUCCACCCAGCCUCGCGAGAAUGAUUGGGUUGGUGAAGCACGAGCGCCAUAUCCACCUUCACUCAUGGAGAAGGGUGCGGCCGCAGGAGGCCAUCUGGGCUCAAGCGGUGCCACCUCACUCUCCCUUCUCCUCUUCGCCGCAGGCCUAGUUGCACAACGAAGAAGAAGAAUAAGAAGCAAGAACAAGACGGGACGAGAACACUUACUAGUCCACCACGGCAUAGUCGCUUCGGGAGAUUGAAGCCGGAGAGCUUCACGACCCGUGGCACGAGUGCGCCAGCUCCGGGAGCAGAAGCAGGGGCAGUAGCUAGGCCGGAAGCACCUCCAGGCGAUAGUGAGGCAGGAGCGUCGUCUCGGGAGAGCAGUGCUGACCUGCUCUUCAUCGGAACCACGGGCGGCUCCCCCUUCUCCAGGAGGAUAUCGUCCUCGCCAUCGUCGUCGGGCAGGAGGCAGAGGAUGUCAGCCUUGCGCAAGGGGGAGGUCUCCCUCAUCUCCUCGGGGGCUCCCUCUAGGUCGUGCUCCUCGUCCUCCUCCUCCUCCUCUCCGUCCCUGCGGGGCUCACCAGAAGAUACGUCCACCGUCAUCGUUGCCGCAGGAACCUCAAAAGGCACCGGCGGCACCAGGCCGCGCCUGUCAAAGGUGGGCCUGGCAUCCAUGACCUACGCCCCGUCCUUCCGGAGCAAACAGGGAGCAUGGGGAUUCGGCGGAUACUCUUGGUCGUCUCCGACCAGGAGGCGGAGGGCCGUGGCCAGCUCCUCAUCGGACAAGGCCUUCGGGCUCAAGCGGAGCUUGUCUUCCCCAUCCACAAGCGUCCAUAGGGGGCGCGUGCGCGCCUGGAGAGGAGCCACCCACUACGCCAAGAAUUCAUUCAGAAGCAUGGCCCCCGUCAGUUUCGCCGCCUUCACGCUGCCCGGCCUCAGGUCGGCGUUCAUCUUCUCCGGCACCAGCUUAGCCCGCUCGUCGGUAAGCUUCACAGGACCACCCCUCAUCAGGUCGGGGCAUCCCCGUCGGCAGCUUCAGUCGUGGGUGGACACACUUGGCAUCCAUCAUAACCCACUUGCUCCUGAAGCCAUCGGCCUUCUUCCCGGUCUUCGAAAUCCCGUUGGCCUUGCCCGUUGCGAUGAAGUUGGCGCACCCCAUGGUGUGGCCUUCGUUGAUCCGGAGGUAGAAGAAGUGGCGCGGCAAUUCCACGGACGGCAUCACCCUGACGUACGCCUCACAGUAGAAGGCAAAGAUGGACAAGAGAAUAACGGAAUUGGGAUGGAGAUGAAGAGCAUGUAACCCGUAGUGCUGGAGGACCGCGUAGAAGUAGUCGAAGAAGAGGGGAACGAGGCCGGCGACGAUGCUGCCCAUGAAGAAGGGGUAGAAGAAGCUCUUCGGGGCUUCGGGCAUGGCGGAGCCUGCCCGGAGCAUGGUCUCCCCCUUCUCGUUGUUCUCCCUCGCCGUCAGCAGCUACAUGACGGCAAGGUUCUUCGCCGAGACAUUGGGCGCCUCCAGGCCCGGCUCGUACCAGGCGGGCGGCGAGUCAACCUUGGUCUUUCGGGGCGCCAUUGGACGGAAGCUUGGAAGGGGAUCAGAGCAGAUCUAGAGGAUUCGGAAGAAAGGGGCAAGAAAGGGGAUCUGGAGCAAGGCGGCGGACAGCAAUGAAGACGAGCGUAGCCCGCGCUAGUCUUUUGUCAAGUCGGGCAGUUGCCUAGGCUACAUGGGGAAGCUGAGACACCCACGUCCAAUCAGUCGCCACGCGUUGACAAAGGCCACAGGCUGUUGUGGCCCACAGCGCUCCGCACUUGCCCUUUGGCUUCACCUCGAAGCCAAGCCCGAGCGCGCCUUGGGCCCGGGGCCUACUGUCGGCGUUCUGGGAAUGGGGGUCCCCAGACUUGCCUGCCUGCGGCCUGCAGCGUGGCUCCCCCAGCGGCCUCGUAUGGCCCAUCUUCACCAGCAAACACCCAAGACCCCCGCAAGGGGCCAAGCCUCGCGAGGCGAACGAUGCAAGACCUCCUCAGGGACGGCCUCACCAGGCUGGCUCGCGAGGGGUGGAGAGAUCAAGGCAAGGCGAACCUCGCGAGGUUCCAAUGAUGUAAGCCAUGAUGAUCAAGACCAGGUGGGCGCCAGGCGGGCGCCAGCAAGCGCAGUGUCCUCGUUUCCUCUUUGGUGCUGAGGAGGCAAGCGCAGACGAGGAUUUCCAAGGCAUCAGACAAAGGUUUCCAUAUUGGUGCAACAAGACCGAGACCAGCAGGACGGCAGGAUGGAGGUCACCGUGGAGCACAAGACAGCGUUACCACUAGAGCCUUUGGCACGCGAAGACUACUUUUGUCAGGAUAACUUGUACUAGUUGUCUCCCUUCGAAUUUGGCUGUUGUGGGAUCCCUUCCCGCUCAAUAUUUGGGAAGGGGACCAAGGCCUCUAUAAAUAGACUGGCUGCCACCAUAGCUAGGAGAGAGGACCUGGGGUGGAGGCAUCUCAUCUUGGAUCGGAGCCAUUCCACCCUUAGCCUCACAAGUUCACCAAGCACAAGAACACCUCUCCCCAUGAGGCUGUUCUUCCAUUGUAACUAUUCAUCCUCAGCCCAAGAAGCAAUCCACAACACCACACUGGAGUAGGGUAUUACACCACAACGGUGGCCCGAACCAGUAUAAAUCUUGUGUCUUGUGUUCUUUGGGUCCGUCAAGCUAGGCCGUGAGAUCAUUGAGUGUGCGAGCUAGAGAGGGGGGAGAUCUUCGUGUGCACCCCAGUAUUCGAACCUCUAGGGUUUUGCCAGAACCCGAAAUCCGACAGUGACGCCAAUCCUAGUGUCAUCAGGCCCUUCAAUAGCUUCGAUGGGCUCCUCUCCCGUAUUGCUGCUCAGAGGGCCACGAUGGAACAAUCUACUGCUGAUGCAGACUCUGAAGAUGCACCUACACCACCGAAGCAGAAGAAGAAGAAGAAGAAGAAGAAGAAGAAGAAGAAGAAGAAGAAGAAGAAGAAGAAGAAGAAGAAGAAGAAGAAGAAGAAGAAGAAGAAGAAGAAGAAGAAGAAGAAGAAGUCAAAAGCUUCAAAGCCCUCUGCUGCACCAAAAGCUUCGACUAUGAAGCCAUUGAAGACUGCACCUCCUGAACUCAGUGUGUAGUCUGAAGACUUGUCUCAUGUCUCCAAGAAGACCAAGAAGACCAAGAAGACCAAGAAGAUUUCAAGCCAUGACCUGACUCCUAUUGUCGUUUCGCGCAAUGUGGAAAACACCAUUGAUCUGUCCAAUGAUGAAGAUCUUAGUGAUGAAGCUCUAGAGAUGUUGAUCAAGAGCAAGCAAGAGACAGAGAUCUUUCAUGAUCUGCCUCUCUUUGAUGCUGACAUUCUGAACAACUUCAUUCAUGAAUGGUUUGAGGACCAAAGCAUCAACAUUGAUGAUCUCCAGCUGCCAGUGGACAUCAGCGUCACCUUUCACGGUGCCAUUGCAAAUGAACUUGCUCUGGCUCAGAAAAUUGUCGAGCUAAAGAACAAGAUUGAUUAUGAGAAGGCAAACUUCAAGAAGCACAUGGCCAAGCUCAGCAUGGCUGAUGUGCAAAUCUUCAAGAAGAUGAUGAAUGACCUCAAGGAUGAAUUCAACAAGAAGCGUGAAGAAGCCAAAGGCUCACGCGAGCGCAUGAAAUACUAUGCGCUGAAAUGUGUGUAAGCACACAAUGAAGCUGAGAAGAGAAAGGCUCUUGGGCGUCCUGGCAUCGACCCCAAGAUGGCUAGCAAGAAAAAAAGAAGUCUGCUGAAGCCAUACCCGAAGCUCCACGGCAAGAACAACCAAUCAUAGUCUUCCCUGCCAGCAUGAUUGGCUCGAAGCCAAAGGUCCCCUCAGCAGCUUCCGAGCAGAAGAAGACAAGGCAAGCCAAAGCUGAAGCCAGGAAGAGGAAGCUGAAAGACACCUCUGAUGGUGCUCCCUCCAAAAAGAAGUUGAAGACAAAGGCUUCAAAGUCUUCAAAGAAAGAGCAUGCCUCUGCCCUAGAGCCCCUCAUCAUUGAACCCAUCACUAUUGCUUUCCCUGCCUCUACCAAUCAAGAACAUCAAGCUUCUCUUCUCACUAUUCCUGAAGAAGUUCCAGCCACUAGCGCUGAUGAAAAUGUUGCUGAAGAAAUGGAGGCCAAGGCUACUGUAGAAAUUGCCACCAAAAUUCCUCAGCCUGUCGCUCCAGAGACUGUAAUUCAAGAGGCUGUGAAAACUUCAACAGUUAAUCUUCAGCCCAAGCCUCAGAAUCCUCACUCCAAGAAGUAGAAGUUCAAGGCUGAUGACUUCUUCGCUGGGCACACUUUCUUCACGGUUUACAAUCCAUAUGACUCUGCAAGACUUAGACGCAAGCGCUUCUGGAUAGCAAGUCAAAUGAACUUCUAUUCCUCACUACUAUUUGAUAAAGACAAGAUCUUUGACCAUGAUCAAAUUCCUCAUGUGGAUAUGGAGUCGCUGCCAAGCUUCACCCCAGUCCUUAGUGUUCUUCAUGACACUGGGCUACUCAAUCUCUGCACCGACAUUUGCAAGAAUGAAGAACUCAUUCUUCAGUUCUAUGCCACGGCGCACAUCACCGGCAACAUUUUAUAUGUGAAUUCAUGGGUAUUGGACUGGAUGACAGAAAAUACUCACUACAAAGCACCAGCCUCUAAAUUGCUUCACGCCUUCCCAGUUAGUCCUCCCAUUGAAGGUGCAAGGCGCCUCUAUGAUGAACCUGAGCUCUCCAACCAUCUAAUGCAAGUGCUGAUGAAGCCUUUGAAGCCAGGCCAAGAUCCUAGAACCAAAUUCCUCGUAAAGGAACUGCUUUAUGUGCCAAGGACUAUAUACAGGAUAUUGACCAACACCCUCAGUCCAAUCAAGGGCCACAACUUUUAUUAUGAAGAAGUUGUUGGCAUCAUGAAGAAUCUGCUUUUCAACAUCAUACAUGGUAUUUGUAAGUGCAUCUAGUGCCACCCCUAGUUGGUUUUGGAGUAUUGAUGACAAACUUGGUUAAGGGACUAAUGUGUUUGUGAGAAUUGCAGGAUAACACAGGUAGUAGUCCCAUAUUGAUUCGGUUUACCUACCAGAGAUGACCCCUAAAAAUGUGUGAAGACAUUGAAGACAAUGGUGGUCCGUGAAGAGAUUCACAUUACAGACUAUGACAUGAGAAGACAUCGUAUGAGACUAUGGAGUACGAAGACAUAGUUGUUUUGUAGUUUCCUUUUCUUCUUUAUUGAGUCAUAGGAACCACCGUACUGUUAAGUGGGGUCCAAGUGAACAAAGUCAGAGUGACUGAUGUGAUGCUCAACAAAACCCGAUGUCUUCAAGCGAAGACAAUGAGACCAAAUCUUAUCCAGAGCUGGAUGAGUCAGCUUAACUUGUAGCCCAAGUCAAGCUGCCACAUGUGUUUGCAAUCUGAUCAUUGGACACGUGUCAGUUCCUUAGUGACCCAGGGUCAUCUCGGACAAAUCAGGUCGGGUUGCCUCCUGGCUAUAAAUAGCCCACCGCCUACACCAUAAAUUGGUGGCUGCUCAGAGUUAGUGCAUGGCUUUUGUCGUUUGAGAGCAACCCACCUCCGAAGUAUUUGAGAGAGAGAUCCUUGCGAGGACAAAGCCCAAAACACCUAGAGCAAAAGAGUGUUAGGCAUCGCUGAAGUCUUUCUGUCAGCGUGAUAUGAAGACUUGUUACACUUGAGGAUUGUGAAUCCUCCAUCUGGUUAGGCUUCACGUUCUGAGCGUCCAAGAGUCAUUGUGGAUCACCGAUGAAUGAAGUCUGUGAAGGUUUGGAAGUCUACCUUGAAGACAUACCAGAGUGAUUGGGCGAGGACUAUGUGUCCUUUGCUCAAGGGAAAUAAGGUGAAGACGCAGUCUUCUGAGUUGAAUCUCAGCCUCCCUAACCAGACUUACAAUUGUCAUAGCAACUGGAACUGGUCCACCAAAUCCUUGUCUUCAUCAAGCUACUAGUUCUAUCCUUCACUUCUCUUUACUUUACAGUUUGUCUUCGUGAAGUCAUUGCUUGCCUGUAUGAUCUGAUUGACUUCACUGAGUGCAGACUAUUUACCUUUUGGCUUCAUACUAUCUUCCACCCUGAUCCAUUCUACCUAGCUGCGGAUAGUCUUCAUGCUCUCACUUCAUUGCUUACUUGACUAUGGCUUGUCUAGUGUAGUCUACCUUCCACUGCAUAUCAAUAGGUUCAUUUCUUCUGUUUGUCUUCAAAGCCCCCGUGUUUUGAAGACUUUCAUAAAAAUCGCCUAUUCACCCCCCUCUAAUCGAUAACUAGCACUUUCAAUUGGUAUUAGAGCAAGCUGCUCCCUUGUUCUGUGUGAUUCGGUUUAACCACCUGGAGUUUCAGCUAUGUCGACUGCAGGGACAAUCAAGGUCUCCACUGCGUGCCCCAUUUUUGAUGGUCAUGAUUAUCCUCGAUGGAAGGCUAUGAUAAGGAAGCACCUUCUAGCUAUGGACAGUGAGCUUUGGUCUGUCACGGAGAUUGGUCUCACCGAUUGAUGCAAGAUGGCGCGUGCUGAUGAUAUUCAGAAGUACACCUUUCUGGAUACGAAGGCGAAGGCUAUUAUAUGCUCCCGUCUAUCAAGAGACGAGUUCAGGCACAUCAUGCAUCUAUGCAAUGCAAAUCUUAUAUGGGACCGGAUCUAUGACGUCUAUGAAGGUCACCGAACAUGUCAGGACCCAUGGUUCCUCUAAUUCAAGGAGUCUCUCAAAACGAUGACUCCCAAACCCGAGCCAUCUUCUCCUACCUACUGCUUCAUAGCAUGUGGUGCCAAGGUAAACUCACGCGAUGCUUACUUUCAAACUUCAAGUGAAGAUGACUCCGAAUGUGAAUCUAAACCUAGCUACAAAACACUUGCUAAAAUUGCAACAGAACAACAAAAUGCUAUGGAACAUAUUCAAAAGUUGCUAGACAAAAGCGAUGCCUGUUGGACGUGGAAAUGACUCGAACUCAUACCUUAAUUGAAGACAUUAAAAGUCUUCAUGUUAAGUACGAGGAACUUGAAAGUCAUCAUGAAACGCUCUCAACUACUCAUGAAAGCUCUCCUAUGAUUAUCUUCAAAGGAAGCAAGAGCUUGAGAACUUGAGAUCGGCUCAUGAAGAUCUUCAAAAGGAGAACGAGUCACCCCGCGCUCAACAGAUUAGUUCCGCUCAGGAAGACUUUGAGCCACCAUGUUUAAAAUGUCUUGAGCAUGAUAAUGUUGCUUCUGUUGCUGGAUGUUCUACUUCUACUGUUGUUGCUAUGUCUUCAACUGCUAAUGUGGAAACUAACCCCUCUUUUGAGGAUACCACUAUUAUUGCAGAUGAGAAUGCCAGGUUGAAGACAUUGCUUGAAACAGGGAUGUACAAAAGCCUCAAAGGGCAUCAGACACUGUGCGAUGUCCUCAAGAGACAAAUUCUGAACCGAAACCCUAGGAAAGAGGGUGUUGGGUUCGAGAGGAAAAUGAAUGUUGAUGGUUCCUAUUGGAAGCCUGAGCAGUACCCCCAAACCACAUGGGUUGCUGCAAAGGGACCUUUAGUGGAUCCAUCUACCUUAUAUGCUUUCACUUGUGCUAACCCUAUUAUCAUUGAUGAAUCCUUUGAUGCAAACUAUAAAAUGUUUUAAGAAUCAGAAUUGUGAAGUGUUUGCCAGGUAUAUUGGUACUAACUACAGGAAAGGACCCCCUUUGAAGAAGAUCUGGGUGCCCAAGAGUUGUCUUGAGAAUCUUCAGGUGCAUGCCAUCAUGACACCACCUGGGAAGAAGACAAACCCCAGACCAAAGGCUUCAUAUGGUCCAAAGAUUCAUACAGAAAGAGGACUCACCAGAGUCACCCUAACGCCAAUGUUUUGUAGGGAAACCAUACUCAGACUUAUGAAUAUGAGCGUGUUUCAUCAAACCUCUAUGUUCAUCAGACCAAGAACUAUUCUGCUUAUUCUUAUGAGUAUUAUUCACCUCCUUCAAGGCUAUUUGCUAGGGCUCCAAACCCAAAUUUCUCAGAUGCUGCACUUAGACUCAUUGCUUCGAAGCCACCCCUGAGGAUGUGGGUGGUUAAGAAGAAUUAACUCUCUUUUGCAAGGAAAGGUCUCCAGCCGAAAAUCAAAGGCGUCUGAUGCUUAUGCUGGGGACCUAAAACAUCUUGUGGGGCACAAGAUAAAAUGCCCAAAUGGUCAUACUAUGUAUUUUGUCCCUGGAUUAGUUGACAAUCAUCCUAUCUGCCCUAACCAGGAUCUGAACUUUGAUAAUAUGCUUAUUCGUCAAAUGGUUAUGCUUCACAUUUCCCUUAGUGAAGCCUAUCCCCCUAACUGCACUGUAGGGUACGGUACCAAAGGCUUCUGAGUGGAUUAUGGACAGUGGAUGCACUAACCACAUGGCUGGUGAUCAAAGUCUUCUCAUGGACUCAACCUUACGUCCAUCUGACAAGAGUCACAUCACAUUUGCUGACACUUGUAAAAGUAAGGUAUUGGGUCUAGGUAGAGUUGCAACCUCAAAGGAUCAGCACAUGGAUAAAGUGAUGCUUGUUGAAUCCCUUGGUUUCAACUUAAUGUUUGUCUCAAUGCUUUGUGAACUGAACAUGGUUGAUAUAUUUGGAAAAUAUUGAUGUCGUGUGCUUCUAGAAUCUGACAAAUCUCUAAUCUUUGAAGGAUAUUGAAAAGACGAUUCAUACAUGGUAGAUUUCUCAGUAGGACCACAGUUGGUCGUAUGUCUUCUAGCAAAAGCUUCAGAGUGCUCGCUCUAGAAUUGGAGGCUAGGGCCUGCUGGCAUGAGGAACUUGUACACACUGGCAAAGAAGAAACAUGUCGUAGGCAUCGAGGGCGUCAAGUUCAAGAAGGAUCAUCUUUGUGGUGUCUGUGAAGCUGGAAAGAUGACAAGGGCUAAGCAUCCCUCGAAGACAACCAUGACGACAUCUCGUCCCUUCGAGCUGCUUCACAUGGACUUAUUCGGCCCUACUCAUUACUCUAUUCUUACUACCACUUCUUGUCUCUAUGGCUUCGUUAUUGUUGAUGAUUACUCAAGAUAAACAUGGGUGCAUAUAAUUCUCUAUAAGAAUGAAGUGUAGAAUGUCUUCAGAUGAUUCGCCAAUCAUGCCAUGAAGAACUAUGGCAUCAAGAUCAAGCACAUUAGAAGUGACAACGGCACAGAAUUCAAGAACACCGGCCUCAAUACUUAUCUUGACACAUUGGUCAUCACUCAUGAGUUCUCUGCUCCAUACACACCUCAGGAGAAUGGCAUCAUGGAGCGCAAGAACAGAACUCUCAUUGAGAUGGCUCGGACGAUGCUUGAUGAGUACAAGACUCCAAGGAAGUUUUGGCCUGAAGCCAUUGAUACUGCAUGCCACGUCAUCAACCAGGUUUAUCUUUACAAGCUUCUAAAGAAGACAUCAUAUGAUCUCCUAACUGGUAAGAGGCCAAACGUCAGUUACUUCAGAGUAUUUGGUGCUAGGUUCUGGAUCAAAGAUCCACAUCACACUUCCAAAUUUGCAUCAAAAGCACAUGAAGGUUUUGUGCUUGGUUACAGAAAGGAUUCGCACUCCUACAGAGUCUUCAACCACUUUCACUAUAAAGUGGUUGAAACUGUGGAUAUGCGGUUCGAUUAAACUAACGGCUCACAAAGAGAGCACCUGCCGAAUGUGCUAGAUGAAGUCUCACCAAGUGAAUCCAUCAAGCUUAUGGGUACGGGAGAAAUCACACCUUCAGAGGCUCAGGCUGAAGAAGGACUCAUCGUUUCUGCACCUAAUCAACCCGAAGACAGUCCUCAGGCUAAAGUCAAUGCCGAUAAUGAAGACAAUGAUUAGCAAGACCAAAGUCUUCGUCCAGUUCAUCCUCGUGUUGCAAAUGAAGUGUAGGUUGAGAAGAUAAUCGAUAGCAUCAACGCACCUGGUCCACUCACUCGUUCAAGAGCUACACAGCUAGCAAAUUUCUGUGGGCACUUUGUAUUUGUCUCUAUAUCUGAACCCAAGAAAGUUGCUGAAGCCUUCAUGGAACCUAAAUGAAUUCAAGUGAUGCAAGAAGAGCUUCAACAGUUUGAGCUGAACAAUGUGUGGGAAUUGGUUAAGCAUCCUGACCCUCGGAAGCACAACAUCAUUGGCACCAAAUGGAUCUAUCACAACAAACAAGAUGAACAUGGUCAAGUUGUCAGAAACAAGGCUCGUCUCGUUGCUCAAGGAUACACUCAAGUUGAAGGGAUUGACUUUGAUGAAACAUUUUCUCCGAUGGCUAGGCUUGAAGCCAUUCACAUACUUCUAGCCUAUGCCAACCAUCACAACAUCCUCCUGUAUCAAAUGGAUGUGAAGAGUGCUUUUCUCAAUGGCAAGAUUGUAGAAGAAGUGUAUGUUGCACAACCACCUGGCUUUGAAGAUCCAAAACGUCCUGAUAUGGUAUACAAGCUCAACAAGGCACUGUAUGGCCUCAAACAAGCCCCUCGUGCUUGGUAUGACACACUCAAAGACUUCCUGAAGAGCAAAGGCUUCAAACCUGGUUCCCUAGAUCCCACACUCUUCACGAAGACAUAUGAUGGAGAACUGUUUGUAUGCCAAAUCUAUGUGGAUGACAUUAUCUUCGGCUGCACUGACAAGAGAUACAGUGAUGAGUUUGGACACAUGAUGCAAGAGCAAUAUCAGAUGUCCAUGAAGGGUGAGCUGAAAUUCUUUCUAGGUCUUCAAAUCCGUCAGCGGAGCAACGACAUUUCCAUAUCACAAGAGAAAUACCUCAAAGAUUUCCCGAAGAAGUUUCGAAUGCAAGACUACAAAGGAUACACGACGCCAAUGCCAACCAAAAGUCGUCUGGGUCCCGACGACAAUGGUAAAGAGUUCGAUGAAAAGGUAUACCGCUCCAUGAUUGGUUCUUUACUCUAUUUAUGUGCAUCUAGGCCAGAUAUAAUGCUUAGCGUUUGCAUGUGUGCCCGAUUCCAAGCGGCACCAAAGGAGUCACAUCACUUAGCUGUGAAGCAAAUUCUUUGAUAUUUGGCUUACACCCAACACUAGGAUUAUGGUAUCGAAAGGGCUCAGAGUUUGAUCUAGUUGGAUUCACAUAUGCUAAUUAUGCUAGUGACAAGGUUGAUCACAAGUCCACAUCAGGCACAUGUCAUUUUCUUGGACGAUCUCUUGUCUGUUGGUCUUCAAAGAAGCAGAACUGUGUAUCUCUCUCCACUUCUGAAUAUGAAUACAUUGCUGCGGGAUCUUGCUGCGCUCAGCUUCUGUGAAUGAAGCAAACUCUUAAGGACUAUGGCAUCCACCUGAAGCAUGUGCCACUCUACUGUGACAAUGAAAGCGCCAUCAAGAUUGCCAAUAACCUAGUUCAGCACUUAAAGACAAAGCACACUCAGAUCCGCCAUCAUUUUCUUAGAGAUCAUGUCAUGAAGGAAGAUAUUGAUAUCAUUCAUGUCAACAGUGAAGAGAAAUUGGCAGAUAUCUUCACAAAGCCCUUGGAUGAGAAAAUAUUUUGCAAGUUGCGGUGUGAGCUAAAUAUCUUAGAAUCCUCAAAUGUCUUGUAAUUGGACACACAUCCUAAUGCUUAUGCAUGUUGAUGACUUAGAUGUGCAACACACAAAGUAAUGUAUAUCUUCAAUCAAUGAAGACAUACAUUCUAAGUGUGAAUACAUUAACGCGGAAUUUGACUUUGGACCGCCACGAUAAUUGUGCGUCGUGUCUGGGUCUAAUACUUCCUAUACAGUGGAAAACUCCACCACCAAAAUCUUUUUGAAGUGUUUUAUGUGGCGUCAAUAUUGUAUAGUCUUCGCAUUUGGUUUAUCUUCAACUCUGAUUUGACUUCAUGUUUAUCUUCACAAUGUUGAGUAGGUCCGAUAUAUAUGACAAAUUUUUCCUACUACCGGGUGUAGUUACACCCAUUUUUAUUUUGUACGUUUUAGAUAGUAUCUACCAUACCGCAGUGUAUGUAUACGUAAUAUGUAGUAUGUAAGAAUAUUUAGGUAGUAUAUAUACUAUUUUUAGGUAGUAUGUAGUAUAUUUUUGGCAUACUUCUUUUUACGUACAAAUAUGUAUGUAUUUUCACAAAUAUGAUAAAAACAUGGGCUCACAUGCAAUUUUUUUUACAUAACUCGCUUUGGAGUAUCUUAGAUAUAUUUUAGAUAUAUUACAUGAACAUAGUAAAAAAUAUAAAGUAGUAUGAGAAAUGGGUGUAGCUACACCCGGUAGGAUGCAUAUAUAUAUAUAGGGUCGCACUAUUCGUCACCCUGGAUGAGGAAUAGUUAUUCUUCAUCCUCCCUCUAUUUUACCAUCAAUGCACUGUAAUUUUACGUUCCGUAAGUUUUGUCUUAUUUCCGACGCAAAAAGAGACCGUAAGAAAAUGUAUAAUCGCCGUAAAAAAUAUUUUAUGUUAUGUAAAAUUACAAACGUAAAAACAUAGUCUAAAAUACACAUAAACUGUAAAUUUUCUUGCCUUAUGACCUAUAUUUUUUAUUUUCUUAUGUAAAAUUUUAAGUAGUCAAUCAACAGAAAUAUAAAUUUUGAAUUCCAAACAUAAUUUAAUUAUGAAAUGAUUGUAAGAUUACCUCGGGUGAAGAAUAACUUAUUCUACACCUAUAGGGCCGCGCUAUUCGUCAACCUGGGUGAGGAAUAAUUAUUCUUCACCCCUCUCAAUUUUGACAUCAAUGCAUCGUAUUUUUACGUUUCAUAAAUUUUGUCUUAUUUCAUACAUAAAAAGAGAGCGUAAGAAAAUAUGUACUCAUUGUAAAAAAUAUAUUAUGUUACGUAAAAUUACGAAUCUCCACUACUAUUAAACAAUCAAACAAGAACUUCUCUAAACACACCUCACAAAAUGUACACAGAUCCAUUAUCACCGUAAGAUUGAACCCACUAAAUUUAAUCUAACGGUUUAUCUUAAUCUAAUUUUUCUCUUGUGUGUACUUAGUAAUUUAGAUUGACUGAACAAACUCCACCGCAGAGGAAACUUCACGCCCGCAAAAUCAAUCCCCGUAAGUCACGCAAGGCAUGAAAAAAAAUGUGAAGAAAUUACUCACCUCAGAUAAUAAUUCAACGAAUAUCCUGUAAUCACGCACAAAACUAACACACAAUGCCCACGCUCCCUCCCCAUCGCCACCAUGGGAACAGGAGCCGCCGCGCCCCCAGCCUCGUGUCGCCCGCAGCAUGCCGCGCGCCGCUCGGCCUGCAUGUCCUCCCUCGAGAAGCGGCGGCACAGAACCAGAGUGGUCGGUAUGCGUCAGUGGCGGCAAGGUCCAUCUCCUCCCUCGACCAGCGGCUGCAGACCAGGACACAGCGGGCGGCCACAGACGCGGCGGUGGAUGCGGGCCACGGUAGCAGAGCUAUGCGUGGCGGCCCUUGUGGCGCGGCCGCGAUGAUGUCGUGGCAGCUGCGCGGCGGAGGGUGUGUGCGUAAAGGGUGCGCAUUCCUCCGGCUUCCGACGUCCCGCAGCAUGGAAGGCCUGGACUGCGAGACGGAGGGCAGCCUAUGGAGUGCCGUGGGGGUGUAGCUGGCUAUGAGGUCUGGAGAGGUGGCUAGGAAGACGGUCGCGUCCAUGACACACGCGUCGCUCUCUUCAUCACACACUUUGUCCUUUGUCUUCCUACAGAUCUUGUUUUCUCGACAUCUAUAGUCUAGAUCGAAGGAAGAUUCGCUUCUUUGCCAAUUCUCCCUGCCAUUCACUCAUCUCCAAGAUAUUAAUCUUACAUCUUACAACACAAAGCUUACUUUGAACUCCUUAUGAUUAGUCUGUCAGAUGUAUUUGUAGUAACUCUUAUCUAGAAAUAUGUCUCACGAAAGAAAUGCCAUCAUUCAUAGAUAUAGUUGAUAGUCUUGAUUCCAGAGCCGUGAUGACACUAUGUUAAGAACCACCAAAAAGAGAAUGAAUUUCUAUGUAAUAAUGUGGCAAAAUCUUUUUUUUGUUCAUGUGUUCUAUCUGACGUGAUUUUUCUUGCUACUAACUUUCCUGCUCCUGACAUAUAAACUCCUGUUUGCAGCACUUGGAUAUACGUAGUUGUAUCAAAAUUCCCUUCUUACAACAUGGCUUGCUGCUACCAGGAAUAUUAGAUUGGAAGCACCUACAUUCGACUAGAUUAAUUUGAUUUCUUUAUUAUAGCUUGCUUCCUCAUUGACUUCGUAAUAGUGAUACUUGUAGUUUGAAAGUAUUUUGUUUCAUCUUUGGCAUGUUAUUCAGUUUUCAGAAUUGAUCUCCAAGUGUUUAUGAUGGUGUGACUGAAUGUUGAGUAAGUCCCACCUAUGGAACCUCAUAAGGCUAAGGCAUUCAGACUAGAUGCGUGGAUUAUGUGGUUGCUCACUAGAUGUCUUCAUUCACUGUAGUUGAUGGUGUUGGAAACAAUAUAUGGACACUUGGUUAUUUCUUUGAGUUGACACACGUCCAAUAAGAAAUCUGCGCCGACAAAAUGAGAGAGGAAUUCAGCCCUAAAGAAAGCACUAACAGUGAAACCGGCAUAUAUUUUAUCACUUGGUCCUUCUAUCAAUGAAGCAAUGUCAAGAGGUAACGGAUGUAGUGUGGAUAAUGCAGGUAUAAAAUUUUCCUCAAUAUAGUACUGUUUUUUUCUGUCAAUUUGGUGUUAUGACGGAAGAUUGGGAAGCAACCAAUUAGUCGUUUCCGUUCUCUGUACAUAAUUACCUUAGCAUAUUUUCAUUUCAAUGCUUUCCCUUAUUUAUUAACAGAGUUUGCUAUGGAGACUCUAAAUUAAUUGAACACCUACACUUGCCCCAGAACUCUUGGUAGCCAAGAGCCUCACACAUGGAUGUCAAUCGGGGCUUCCAUCCCACACCACUUUGUUGGCCACGACCGCAAUCGUCCCAGCAUCACCCUCCCGCCGUCGUAAAAGAUCCGGCAUUGCUGCCCACACCCCUGCUUUGCUGCAUACCACUUCUCUAGCAUGUACAGUGGGCCGGCAAGCAUGCGACUGAAGACGAUCAGGUGACAAUGUAUUUUCACAAGUAUUGGCAAUGGACAGUACCAAUGCCGUAACUAAUUUAUUCUAUCUGAGUAGCAGUUUCUCAUUAAUUUCAGUAGAUAUCCUUAUUUUGGUUUACGAUCCAUCAGUAAGGUUUGUCUAUUUUCAUUUUAAUUUUCCACACAUCUGUUUCAUAGCAUCCAAAUUCUCUAUUAAAGAGAAAUAUGUAUGGAGUUCAUGUGCCAUUCAUAUAUUCUAUUGUAAAUUUUAUUUUUAAGUUAUGAAUCUGAAUGUAACUGCUAUAUCGAUUCACUACAAAGAUGUGAUAUUCAUUCUAUAACAUUUGUUCUGGUGAGGCUCAUGAGUUAUCUUGGAGAAUGUCACCUAUUUAGAAAGAAUAUUUUCCCUACUUGCUAUUGGGUGGAAUUUUUCAUAGCAUCACAGUUAUGUUCGAAUCCUUCUAAAUUUUACUAAUCUCAUCAAGAUUUUCUUUUUGACAGUGUAAUCUUACCAAGAUCAUGUGCUUUUUUUAUCUCUGGUUCUUGCAAGACGAUUCUUUGCAGUACGUGUCAGGUUAGUGAGUUGAAUCGAACGAAUCCUCUGGCCACUUAGGUCUUUAAGCCCCGGUUCUUGCUUUUGUAGUUUUGUUUAUUCUCUUCCAAUUUUUGAGCCAAGGUUGGAAUGUUGAGUCGGCAGAAAAAUGUAUCGGAUCCAUAACAAAUGUUCUUUGCACAACAAUUAUACAUAUGAGGAAAAGAGCAAGAGGUAUUGGUGAAUAGUGUUGAUUGUGUUUAUGGACAUGAUUUGAUUUGGAUACUUUUGUUGUAUAUAUCCAAUUGUAUCGUUUAUAACUUAUGGAUAUUAAUCAAAACGUGUGUCGCAUGUGCACGCUUACUAGUGUAAAAAUAUAGUGUAAAACAUACUUAAAAUGUGAUUUUUUGGGUAUUAUAACCUAUAUCUUUGUUUUUUAUACCAAAUUUUACAUAUUGAAUUAAUAUGCAUGUAACUAUUUAUAUUCUAAACGUAAUUUAUUUAGGAAGCAGUCAUAAGAUUACCAUGGCUGAAGAAUAGCUUAUUCUGAACACUGGGUGAUGAAUAACAACACUAAUAUAUAUAUAUAUAUAUAUAUAUAUAUAUAUAUUAGCAGAAUAACUAUUCUGAUAACACUUCCGCAUUGCACGCUCAAUGCAAGUGCACGUCAUUGUUUGAACCAAGUGUGCUGCAGUACUUGAUGAAGCUAUGUACCUAGGGUAGAGUCAUGGACCUGUCUAAACAGCCCUACCCAAGGACAUCUCUAGAAGAAAUCACCUUUCAAUCAACUUGGAAGUGUUCCACUCGACAGACUCGGAGACACUCGACCAAGAAGCGAUCACUCGACCAAGACCAAACCACUCGACGGCUAGGAGACCUAAAGGCACUCCGCACGCUAACGGUCGAUUAUUAAGUAGCUUUUAUGAUCAUCAUAGCACUUUAUUAAGGGCGUUACUAGUAACGCUCGACCUUAAUGUAUUUAAAACCCUGCAUAACUAAGGGCCGAAGGGAUCCGGCGAACUCUAUAUAAGCCACCCCCCUCCUUGCUGUAAAGGGUUCGCACCCCUAUAAACCAUACACGCAUAAUCCAGUCGACCGCCUCCGGGCUCCGAGACGUAGGGCUAUUACUUCCUCCGAGAAAGGCCUGAACUCGUAAACUUCGUGUGCUUACAACUUCUCCAUAGCUAAGAUCUUGCCUCUCCAUACUUACCCCCCUACAUUACUGUCAGACUUAGAACCACGACAGUUGGCGCCCACUGUGGGGCAGGUGUUUUAGCGAUUUGUUGGAGGAGUUGCGAUCUUUUCCGAUCCGAAUCAUCAUGGUUUCCGGCGGAGUUUUGGUGGAGGGUCGCGAGAUCCGUCUCGGCACGCUCACGUUCAUCGCUGAUGACCCCGCUUGGCUUCAGGAGGCUCCGCUCGACAUGGACGCACUCCUUAUCCGCGGGGCAACGCACUUUAGCGCGUGCGUCCGCGGCGUUCUCUUGAGGCAACCGUCGACCCCCUAUCGGUCGGCUCCUGUGUUGUCCUCCCUCCCUGUUUCCCGCCGGCGCAACCGCUCCGGUCGGUUGAGACUUCAGUGGUGGGUGAGACACGCUAUGGCACGCCAGUCGGCCACCCCUCAAGUCGCGACGAUCGAGCCCGAUGAAUCCCUCUACGGCAUGUUCGAUCUGUCGACUGGAUCCGCAGAGACCGCAUCCGAGUGCGACAGCAGCGAUCCGGCGGCGGAGGUUCUGAUGGUCGAUGGACCUCCCAGUCCUCCAGGUUUUCCCCGCACCGACGGAGGCGCGGGUGGUGGCGACCUGUCGCGUCCCCAUGAGGAAUAUCUCCCGAGCCUCUCACGUCGCUACAGAGAGAAGAACUUCAUCGCCGGAACAUGGAUGCACUGCACACUCCUAUCGUCGGAGAAACCCCCGAGGCUCGUGCCUUGGAGGACGUGCGCCUGGCAAACUUGGCCGAGCGCACUCGACUGGAGAACCUCCAGCGAGCACUCGACGAGCGUGCGCGACAACGGGUUCCCGAAUCCAGUCGACGUCAGCUCUUCCCGCCCCUGCAGGUAUAUCGAACUCCGGUUCAGAAUUUAGCAGCUGCAGCCCGAAUAGCAGAGUCGAUUUAGCCUUCCCAGUCGGAGGCUGGCAGAGGCUUGCUGCAGAUCAGAGCGUUACUCCGGGCAGCAGGAGACCAAAAUUCCGCUGUUACUCAGUCACGGAACAGGAUUCACAGCAGAUCCAUUGCUGCAGACACAGUCCAGUCGGCUCAUAGUCCAAGAUCGCCCCCGAGGCAUGAGGGACGUGGGGACCGGCAUAAUCAGUACGGGAACCGUGAGCAAUAUGAUCACCGAUUUGAUCGUGAUGAUCGACGUCGAGUGCCCACCCCUCCCCCGAGGAGCGGGUCGUAUGCGCCUCGACAACAGGAUGACAGGCGCCCUCGUAGUGUUGGGCGAAGGAUCCCAGUCGACUCCAGGGAGCCAGGUUUUGAUGCGAGAUCCAUUCUCGUUCAAGGUUUGGUCGACAGGAACAGAGCUCACCGAGAAGGUCACGACAGAGACGCACCUACAAGCAGCAGAGCACAUGUUUCGGGGCCAGAGUGCUUUAGUAGAGCCAUCAGGGCCGCUGUGAUUCCUCCCAACUUCAGGUUGGCGACUGGAGUCAGCAAGUUCACUGGUGAGUCCAAACCCGAUACUUGGCUUGAAGACUACCGAGUGGCCGUCCAGAUUGGCGGCGGCAGUGAUGAAGUGGCCAUGAAGCACCUGCCUUUAAUGUAGAGGGCUCGGCCAGAGCGUGGCUAAACCAGUUAGCACCCAGCAACAUUUACACUUGGGAAGAUCUCGCCCGAGUGUUUGUCACCACAUUUGAAGGAACAUGCAAGCGACCUGCAGGGCUGACGGAACUGCGGUCUUGCGUGCAGAAGCCGAAUGAAACUUUGAGGGAUUACAUCCAGAGAUGGAUCACGUUACAUCACACGGUAGAGAAUGUGCCUGACCACCAAGCAGUCUGUGCCUUCAAAGAAGGCAUCAAGUACAGAGAACUGGAUCUGAAAUUCGGUCGGAUCAGAUAUAUGUCUCUGAAUCGGAUGAUGGAGAUUGCCACCAAGUACGCUAAUGGUGAAGAUGAGGAUCGACUCAGGAGUGGCAAGCUCAAGUCAGUCGCUCAAGAAACCGGAGGAAAUUCCCAUCGGAAACAGAAGCGGAAAGUCGAGCCAGCUGCUCCUGGGGAAGCCUUGGCUAUAACCCAAGGAAAGUUUAAAGGGAAACCCAAAGGACCUUGGAACCCCAAGAAAGUUAAAGACCAGGACGGAAAUGAUGUGUUGGAUUUGCCAUGUCUUGUCCACACCAAGAAAGAUGAAGAGGGUAAUUUCAUUUACCCGAAACAUACCACUCGACAGUGUCAACUCUUGAUCCAGCAGUUCCAGGGCAAGCAGCCCAAAGAUAAGGAAAAGGAGUCGGACAAAGUUGGGGACAAGGAAGAUAGUGACGAUGGAUACCCCCAGGUCAAUGCCACCCUGAUGAUUUUUGCUGAUGUUGAAAGCAAAAGUCGACUGGAAGUUAUCAACUGAGAGGUGAAUAUGGUUGCUCCGGCAACACCCAGUUAUCUGAAGUGGUCUCAGACUGCCAUAACAUUCGGCCGGUCCGAUCACCCAAUGCACAUCGCCACCCCUGGGAGGCAAGCUUUGGUGGUCGACCCAGUUGUCGAAGGCACUCGACUGACCAAAGUCUUGAUGGAUGGUGGCAGUGGUUUGAACAUAUUAUAUGCUGAGAUGUUGAAAGGGAUGGGCAUUCCGAUGUCCAAACUCAGUACCAGCAACAUGAGUUUCCAUGGAGUCAUUCCUGGGAAGAAGGCUGAGUCACUCGGCCAGAAUGCUCUUGAUGUGGUUUUCGGUGAUUCCAAGAAUUACCGCAAAGAAAAGUUGACAUUUGAAGUUGUAGUCUUCCAGAGUGCCUAUCACGCUAUUUUGGGCAGGCCGGCUUAUGCACGCUUCAUGGCCCGACCAUGUUAUGUGUAUCUCAAACAGAAGAUGCCUGGCCCCAAAGGUGUGAUCACUAUUACGGGCAAUCGGAAGAAAGCGGAAGAAUGUUUUCAGAAAGGUUCAAAGAUCACUGAUGCUCAGAUGGCAGUGGUGGAGCUGCAGGAAUACCAGAAGACUGCAGACCCGAGUGAUUUAUUGCGAGCCAAGAAGCCUGCUACAGAAUCAGCUUUUCAGUCGUCUGGCGAAACGAAGACAACUCACAUCCAACUCAUAUCUCAACAACACUCGACUCCAAAUAGGAAGAAGCGCUCAUCCAGUUCCUCCGUGAGAACUGGGACAUUUUCGCAUGGAAGCCUUCUGACAUGCUGGGUGUUCCCAGGGAGCUGGCUGAGCACCGCCUAAGAGUCGACUCAAAAGUAAAACCUGUCAAGGAACAUCUCCGAUGGUCCGCCGUCCAGAAGAGAAAUGCUAUUGGCGAGGAGGUGGCUCGGCUCUUAGCAGCGGAGUUCAUCCGAGAAAUCUACCACUCCGAGUGGCUCGCCAACGUUGUCAUGGUCCCCAAGAAGGACAAGUCACUUCGCAUGUGCAUUGACUUUAAACAUAUCAAUCGGGCCUGCCCGAAAGAUCAUUUUCCUCUCCCCCGCAUCAAUCAGAUAGUCGACUCGACUGCGGGAUGUGAGCGACUGUCUUUUUUAGACGCCUAUUCCGGGUACCAUCAGAUCCGUCUGUAUGGACCUGACGAGAUCAAAACAGCUUUCAUCACUCCAUUCGGGUGCUUCUGUUAUGUUACCAUGUCGUUCGGCCUCAAGAAUGCUGGAGCCACAUUCAUGAGGAUGAUUCAGAAGUGUUUGCUCACUCAAAUCAGUCGAAAUGUGGAAGCAUACAUGGAUGACAUUGUGGUCAAGUCAUGGAAGGGUUCCGACCUGCUGGCUGACCUUGCUGAAACCUUCGCCAACCUCGGGAGGUAUGAUAUCAAGCUUAAUCCAUCAAAGUGCACAUUCGGAGUUCCUGGCGGAAAAUUACUCGGUUUUCUUGUUUCCGAACGGGGAAUUGACGCCAAUCCAAAAAAAGUCGGUACUAUACUCCGAAUGAAAAGUCAUGUGCGAGUGCACGAUGUCCAGAAGCUUACUGGUUGCUUGGCCGCUUUAAGUCGAUCCAUAUCUCGUCUCGGUGAAAAGGCAUUGCCUCUUUACCGAUUGAUGAAGAAGUCCGACAAGUUCGAGUGGACUCCCGAAGCUGAUGCAGCAUUUGCAGAGCUCAAAGCUCUGCUCUCCACCCAGCCGGUGCUUGCUGCCCCAAUCAGCAAGGAGCCUUUGCUGCUUACAUUGCAGCCACGGGACAAGUCGUCAGUACGAUACUUACGGUCGAGUGGGAAGAAGAAGGAAAAGCUUUCAAAGUUCAGCGCCCAGUAUAUUAUAUUUCUGAAGUUUUGACCCCGUCGAAGCAAAGAUAUCCUUAUUAUCAGAAGCUUGUAUAUGGUAUUUAUAUGACCACAAAGAAAGUUGCUCACUACUUCUCUGAUCAUUCCAUUACAGUCGUCAGCGACGCUCCAUUGUCAGAGAUCCUGCAUAACAGAGAUGCAACUGGUCGAGUGGCAAAAUGGGCGAUUGAACUCCUUCCUCUAGAUAUCAUGUUCGAGGCAAAGAAAGCUAUCAAGUCCCAGGCAAUAGCAGAUUUCGUCACCGAGUGGAUUGAACAGCAACUGCCGACUCAGGUUCACUCGGAGCAUUGGACCAUGUUCUUUGACGGUUCCAAAAUGCUGAAUGGUUCCGGUGCCAGGGUGGUGUUGGUCUCCCCCCGAGGAGAUAAGCUCAGAUAUGUUCUUCAAAUCCACUUUGAUUCCUCCAAUAACGAGGCGGAAUAUGAAGCACUUUUAUAUGGGUUGCGCAUGGCCAUUUCACUCAGCGUCCGUCGCCUCAUGGUCUAUGGCGACUCAGAUUUGGUGGUUAAUCAGGUGAUGAAGGAAUGGGACAUCAGAAGUCCAGCCAUGACUGGUUAUUGCAAUGCAGUGAGAAAGCUGGAGAAGAAAUUCGAGGGGUUAGAGCUUCAUCACAUACCCCGACUGAAAAAUCAAGCAGCUGAUGAUUUGGCAAAAAUAGGUUCCAAAAGAGAAGCCAUUCCCAACAAUGUGUUUUUGGAACACAUCCACACACCAUCAGUUCAGGAGGAUCCCUUCACUAAAGAGGCCCCGCAGCCAAAAAGUGCCACGGAUCCGACUGAAGUCGAAAUUCCAACUGUGGUCGACCUGAUCAUGGAAGUCUUGGUCAUCACUCCCGACUGGACAGUACCGUACAUCGCGUACAUCCUAAGGAAAGAACUCCCAGAGGACGAAGAAGAGGCUCGACAGAUCGUCCGUCGAUCCAAGGCCUUUACAGUCAUAAAGGGACAGUUGUUUAGAGAAAGCGCGACUGGAGUCAGUCAGAAGUGUAUAACACCAGAAGAAGGUCAGAUGAUCCUUGACGAUAUCCACUCGGGGACCUGUGGUCAUCAUGCGUCCUCUCGGACCAUUGUGGCUAAAGCAUACCGAGCGGGAUUUUACUGGCCAAGGGCUAAUGAAAUGGCAAAAGAGAUAGUCGACAAAUGUGAAGGAUGUCAGUAUUACUCCAAUAUGUCGCACAAGCCCGCGUCAGCUCUAAAAACCAUUCCACUCGUCUGGCCCUUCGCUGUUUGGGGGCUGGACAUGGUUGGACCACUAAAAACGGGCAGGAGCGGCUUCACUCAUGUGCUAGUAGCAGUCGACAAGUUCACCAAAUGGAUUGAAGCUAAGCCUAUCAAGAAUCUUGAUGCUUGCACUGCUAUCAGUUUCAUCAGAGAGUUGAUAUUCAGAUAUGGAGUUCCGCACAACAUCAUCACUGACAACGGGUCAAACUUCGAUUCCGACAAAUUCAGGGCCUUUUGCGCCUCUCAAGGCACACGAGUCAACUAUGCUUCGGUCGCUCACACUCAGUCGAAUGGACAGGCGGAAAGAGCAAACGACCUAAUUCUCAAAGGACUGAAACCUCGAUUGAUGCGCGAUUUGAAGCACACAGUAGGUGCAUGGGUUGACGAGCUUCCAUCAGUUCUUUGGGGAUUGAGGACGACCCCGAACCGAUCGACCGGAAGAACCCCAUUCUUUCUGGUCUACGGAGCCGAAGCAGUCUUGCCGAGUGACAUGCUUCACAACGCCCCUCGAGUCGAGCUCUACUCUGAAGAAGAAGCAGAACAAGCCCGGCAGGACGCAGUCGACCUCCUGGAAGAAGAAAGAGAAAUGGCCAUGAUCCGAUCAACCAUUAUUCAGCAAGACUUGCGUCGAUUCCAUGCCAGAAAUAUGAAGAGUCGAGCCUUCCAAGAAGAAGACUUAGUCCUCCGAGUGGAUCAGCAGAAACCACACAAACUCGCUCCUACUUGGGAAGGCCCCUUCAUAGUCACCAGAGUCCUCCACAAUGGAGCGUAUCACCUCUAUAAUGUCGAUCGCCAGAUUGAUGAGCCACGAGCCUGGAAUGCGGAGCUACUCCGCCCCUUUUAUACUUGAAUUCUCACUCGGAUGAGAUGUAAUAAGAAAAACUCCUGUAGUUUAUUUAUCAAAGACAAGAGCGUUAUAAUUUUCCCAGUGAUUGUUAUUGUUUUUGUUUGCGUAAGAAAUCCCCCAGUGGGUGGCUUAGCUGCGAAUCCGCUUCGCCUAAGUUUGUAAAAAUAAUUUCCUGCCGAGUGGUGAGCCAGCCUCCCACUCGAGGGCUUAGCUGCGAACCCGUUUCGCCUAAGUAUUUAAAAAUCCUACCGAGUGGAGAGCAACCCUCCCACUCGGGGGCUUAGCUGCAGUCCAGUACUCGCCUAAGUUCUCUCACUCGGAGACUUGACUGUAGUCCGGCACUCACCUAAGUUUGAAAAAAUCCUACCGAGUGGAGAGCAACCCUCCCACUCGGGGGCUUAGCUGCAGUCCAGUACUCACCUAAGUCCUCUCACUCGGAGACUUAGCUGCAGUCCGGCACUCGCCUAAGUUUGAAAAAAUCCUACCGAGUGGAGAGCAAUCCUCCCACUCGGGGGCUUAGCUGCAGUCCAGUACUCACCUAAGUCCUCCCACUCGAGGGCUUAGCUGCAGUUCAGUACUCACCUAAGUUUGAAAAAAUCCUANNNNNNNNNNNNNNNNNNNNNNNNNNNNNNNNNNNNNNNNNNNNNNNNNNNNNNNNNNNNNNNNNNNNNNNNNNNNNNNNNNNNNNNNNNNNNNNNNNNNNNNNNNNNNNNNNNNNNNNNNNNNNNNNNNNNNNNNNNNNNNNNNNNNNNNNNNNNNNNNNNNNNNNNNNNNNNNNNNNNNNNNNNNNNNNNNNNNNNNNNNNNNNNNNNNNNNNNNNNNNNNNNNNNNNNNNNNNNNNNNNNNNNNNNNNNNNNNNNNNNNNNNNNNNNNNNNNNNNNNNNNNNNNNNNNNNNNNNNNNNNNNNNNNNNNNNNNNNNNNNNNNNNNNNNNNNNNNNNNNNNNNNNNNNNNNNNNNNNNNNNNNNNNNNNNNNNNNNNNNNNNNNNNNNNNNNNNNNNNNNNNNNNNNNNNNNNNNNNNNNNNNNNNNNNNNNNNNNNNNNNNNNNNNACUCGCCUAAGUUUGAAAAAAAUCCUACCGAGUGGAGAGCGAUCCUCCCACUCAGGGGCUUAGCUGCAGUCCAGUACUCGCCUAAGUUUUCUCACUCGGAGACUUAGCUGCAGUCCGGCACUCGCCUAAGUUUGAAAAAAUCCUACCGAGUGGAGAGCAACCCUCCCACUUGGGGGCUUAGCUGCAGUCCAGUACUCGCCUAAGUUCUCUCACUCGGAGACUUGGCUGCAGUCCGACACUCGCCUAAGUUUAAAAAAAUCCUACCGAGUGGAGAGCAAACCUCCCACUCGGGGGCUUAGCUGAAGUCCAGUACUCACCUAAGUACAAAACACAUCUCAGUCCUCAAGGACGACGAGGUGCAGGACUACUGCCACCUUCUCCUGGGGAGCUUCGCCACAAAUAUAAUGUGCGCUCCAUCCCGCUCUGCAGUAACGAGGUGCGGGUCGACUGCCGCCUUCCCCUGGAGAGCUUCGCCACAAAUACAACGUGUGCUCUCCGCAAGGACGACGAGGUGCAGGACUACUACCACCUUCUCUUGAGGAGCUUCGCCGACCCGCAAGGGCAACGAGGCGCAAGUCGACUUGUUCCUUCUCCUUCGGAGCUGUGCUACAAAUACAAAAGUUGUCUCGAAUGAAGAACGAGUUCACUUGGCAGGGGAUUCAUGAAGAUAUUCAACGAUAAACCAAGUUCGGAUAAAUCCUAAAGGUUCCGGACCACAGAUCGAAGUGCUCGGGCAUGGAGCCCGAAAGAGUUUAACGGUUACAAAAACCACUCGGCAUUCCGAGGCAAAUUUAAGGCGAGGCAUAAAAGUUUGUUCACUCUGCGGGAGGAGGACUAGCAGGCUCAACGAACUCGUCUAAGUCGACGCCGUCGGCGAUCCGAGUGGCUGCAGCGAUGAAAGUCUCCAUAAAAGAUCGGAAGUCAUGCUUCUGGGUGUUGGCGACCUUGAUUGCUGCCAGCUUAUCUUGUCGCACCUCCUUGUAAUGGACGCGAACCAAAGACAGAGCCACAUCAACGCCACACCGGGCAGAAGACUUCUUCCACUCCUGCACUCGGUCAGGGAUUUCGUUAAGUCGAGUCAUCAGGGACUCAAGAUCAUUUUGGAGCAUGGCCUCUGGCCAAAGUGCCGGGUCGAUCCGUGACAUGGCGACCUUCAGUCGAGCCAAGUAGUCCACGACACCGUUGAUGCGGGAUUCCAGUCGGAGCAGAUUCAUGGCAGUUUGAUCUUUCACGGGAGAAUUGAUUGGAUCCAAACCUGGUUCGAUCCGCCCAGUCUCCUCCUCAAAGUCCUGGCAAAACUCUACAUUCACGAUCCAAGGAUAAGUCAAUUUUCAUACGCUGAGUCGACACAAAAAAAAUCAGUCGGAACAAAAUGUGCACCUUCAAGCUUGAUGAACAACUUCUUGGCAAGGCUCCUCAGAUAGCUCUCCAGAUCGUCCCUCCUGCGAGCGAUGCCUUCCAUCUUCUCGCAUAGGUUGAGGUUCUCCUUCUUCCAGCGCGAGAACUCCUUGUUGGCUUCGUUCAGAGCAGAUUUCAGCUUGGUAUUCUCUUCUUCCAACUGGCCGACCGAAGCCAGUUUCUGUUCAGCCAGAGCGGUCAUGUCAUCAGCCUCCUUUCGAGCAGCACCCAAAUCCUGAUCUUCUUCACCAGAGCUUCUCUCGGUUUUUCUACAAAGAAAUGAUGAUUGAUUCAGAAAGAGCAGAAGGGUACCCAAGCCUAAGACAGACCAGUCGACAAACUCGUCUUACCAGUGGCGCCGUCCUUGACCUUUUGCAGCUCUGUCUUGGCCAGCUCCAAGUCAAGGUUCAGUUGAAUCUGCUGUUUCUCCAAGUCAGCAAAGCGAGCUCCAAGAUCACAAGAUUUCUGAAAUCAAAGGGGAGAAGUUAUUUUACAGCGAAAAACGACAAAGACGAUAAGUACUAAGACUACGGUCAACUACCCACGGUCCACCAUAGUCUCGGGGACUACACCCAGUGGGUGCACUUUGCGUUCCCCCACCGGUUCUGAUCCCACUCGACCGGCCCGCCGGAGUCGAGUGCAGGGAGUAAAAAAAGUGGAGAGAAAGUAGAACUCAGACCACAGUCGACUGCCAGCAGUCGACCGCGGUCUCGGAGACUACACCCAGUGGGUGCACUUGGCGUGCCCCAAUCGGUUCUGAUCCCACUCGACCAGAUCAAGUGGAAGAGACAAACUACCAGUUCGGUUUACACUCAACAAAAUACAAAGACUACAGUCGACUGCCAGCAGUCCACCGUAGUCUCGGGGACUACACCUAGUGGGUGCACUCAGCGUGCCCCCACUAGUUCAAAAAUUCAAUCGAUGCACCCAGUGGGUGUACAUAUGCAAAGAUUUUCGCGAAGAGUCUUCAGAUAGCAUAUCCUAACAGAACAAGCGGCGACCAACUAACCUGAACGUUGCUCUGGAGAGCUGAGCUGGCAUCAUAGGCGUCCUGGCUGGCGUCCCGCACCGUCUUCAUCUUCUCCAUCAUAAUGCCCGCCUGGCGUAUGGCCUCCUUGGCAGCAUUCACUUCGUCCUCUGGGACAUGAUGGGUCGCAAAAACUGAAGGCGGGUCGACAGGGGCCUGAGCAGUCGACGAGGAAGGCAAGGCACUCGACAAUGGCACGGCGAAGGUAACAGAAUCCCGAUUGGCAUCACCAGCGUCCUGAACGACUGGCUCCGCCCUCGGCGUCGAUUGUGGCACCUCGCUUGCAGGAGCUUGCCUAUUUUUCCUCGUCAAAGGCCUCUCGGGCUCUUCAUCAUCAUCAUUAGGGAGGUCAAUAAUGUUAGGGGCUGUUCAAAGUUCAAUCGACAAAAUCGCAUCACCCAAUGGUACACACUGCAGUUGAAUCGACCAAGAUAAAGACAGAAUGGCAGAAAUCAUACCCAGAUUAGAAGUGACCGCAUCCUCCAUCACCUCAUCAUCGUCCCUGUAAGCUGAGGUCCCGGAAGUAGCAGCGCUGCCAGCUCCAAAGUUCGUCCAGUUAAAACAAGAAAAACAAACAGCACAGGGCGUCGAGUGAAGAUAAAAGGAAACACUCACGCAGAAGCGACGGGGAUGUCAAUCUUAAUCUUCGGCAACGCCUUCCGAAGCUUCGGCUCUGCGACUUUGGGGUGCUUUGACGCUUUUUCGGUCAGAGUUGGCGAAGAGGUCCGAGGACGCUUUGAAGACUGACCAGCUUGAGCAAUCGCCUUUUCACGGGCGCUCGGUCGUUCUUGGUCAAGUUUGGACCGCCUCUCCCUGCGAGGAGGCGACUCGACUUCUUCUUCGUCACUUGGAUCGUCGCUUUCUUCAUCCCCUCCACCGUCAGAAUCCCAUUCGCCACUGUCGCCGCCGCUCGCCUCUCCUUCCGGGUCCUGCUCCUGCUUUCCGUUGGGCAUUGAAUACAUUUCAAUAAUGGCCUGAAAGAAAGCAGGGAGAACAAAGUCAGUCGACUCAGUAUAGGCAGCUGCGCGAGUGAAUUCAGAUUACAAAUAAAAGCUCAGAAUCAGACCUUCUCUGGUACGUGAGACUGGUCGAAUGGAGGAACUCUCCUGGCUCCCCUGGGGUUGUCCUUGUUUCCGGUCAUGCCCGACAGCCACUUCUCCAGUGUGUCGUCAUCGACCUCCUCCGGGUGAAUCCGAGUGGAGUCUUCAAGACCCGAAUACAUCCACAUCGGAUGGUCUCGGGCUUGAAGAGGCUGGAUGCGCCGCUGAAGGAAGACCUCCAAGAGAUCCAUACCGGUGACCUCGUCACGGAUAAGCUGGACCACUCGCUCUACCAGCACCCUCACCCGCGCCUUCUCCUCCGGGAGCACCUUCAAAGGGGAGGGUUUCCUCGCUCGGUCCAUGGUGAAAGGAGGGAGGCCAGUCGACUGCCCUGGCGUCGACUGGUCAUUGCAGUAAAACCAGGUCGACUGCCAUCCGCGAACUGAGUCGGGAAGAAUCAUGGCCGGAAAGGAACUUUUCCCUCUCAUCUGAACACCAAGACCCCCACACAUCUGAAUCACUUGAGUCCUCUCGUCACUCGGAUUAGCCUUUUUCACCAUCUGGGAGCGACAAGUGAAAAUGUGCUUGAAGAGGCCCUAGUGAGGCCGACAACCCAGGAAAUUCUCACACAAAGAAACGAAAGCGGCGAGGUAAAUGAUUGUGUUGGGAGUGAAAUGGUGGAGUUGUGCCCCAAAGAAGUUCAGAAAUCCCCGAAAGAAAGGGUGAGGAGGCAAGGAAAAUUCACGGUCGACAUGGGUGGCAAGGAGAACACGCUCACCCUCCCGAGGUUGCGGCUCGGAUUCCUUCCCCGGAAGCCGCGCCGAUUCAUAGGGGAUCAGCCCUCCUUCGGCUAGGUCGUCGAGGUCUUCUUGGGUGAUCGUUGAGCGGAUCCAGUCGCCCUGGAUCCAGCCCUUCGGCAGGUCGGUUCACGAGGAGGAUCCGCCCCGACUGGUCGCCUUCCCCUUCGACCUCGCCGUCGCCUUCUUUGCCCGCUCUAGAGCCGCCGUUUUCUCCUUCCCCAUCGUCGCCGGCGAGACGCGUACGGAGCGGUGGCGCUGGGGCGAGAGCGAGCGCGGCGAGGGAGCGUUGAGAGGAGAAGAGAUAAUGGAGACGCACUGUUCGAGAGACCCCGGUCUGACGCCUUAUAUGAGGCCGCUUCCGAGUGGCUGACUGGUAGGCCCGGGCGGCCCUCUCAAAUCCCGUAACAAUCGCGCGCGUGAUACGUGGCGAAAAAGGUGGCACGAGGAUCGAGGCGGCUCCGCUCUAUCCCAUCCGAUUACUGCGGCCUCUCGCGUCCCAUGCGCUUCCCAAAAUUCAGAUCCCGCGAAAUCUGCGGGCAACAGAACAACUUGUCAGACCGAAGAUCUCCUCCGCACCGUCACUCGGAGCCUUUCAAGUAAAGAAACUCACUCAACAAAAAACUAAGAAUGGAUCAAAGCGACUGAAAAGGAAGUUGUUGUCAUCACUCAGGUUCAUCGAUCCGAAACCAGAUAUGCUCAUGGCAUGAAAAAUGAGUCGGGGAAAUUCUCAACUCCUUCCCCACUCAAACCUCGAUCCAUUCGGGGGCUAAUGAUGAAGCUAUGUACCUAGGGUAGGGUCAUGGACCUGUCCAAACUGCCCUACCCAAGGACAUCUCUAGAAGAAAUCACCUUUCAAUCGACUUGGAAGUGUUCCACUCGACAGACUCGGAGACACUCGACCAAGAACCGAUCACUCGACCAAGACCAAACCACUCGACGGCCAGGAGACCUAAAGGCACUCCGCACGCUAACGGUCGGUUAUUAAGUAGUUUUUAUGAUCAUCAUAGCACUUUAUUAAGGGCGUUACUAGUAACGCCCGACCUUAAUGUAUUUAAAACCCUGCAUAACUGAGGGCCGGAGGGAUCCGGCGAACUCUAUAUAAGCCACCCCCUCCUCAGCGUAAAGGGUUCGCACCCCUGUAAACCAUACACGCAUAAUCCAGUCGACCGCCUCCGGGCUCCGAGACGUAGGGCUAUUACUUCCUCCGAGAAGGGCCUGAACUCGUAAACCUCGUGUGCUUACAACUUCUCCAUAGCUAAGAUCUUGCCUCUCCAUACUACCCCCCUAUAUUACUCUCAGACUUAGAACCACGACAGUACUCACGCGAGUGAACUUCCCGUCGCAAAAAAACUGCACGCCGUGUUUUUUUUUAUAUUGCUUUCGCUCUAGUUUUUGAACCGUUUAUUGGAACGAGGCGUAUAAUAUACCGUUGGAAAGCUAUGGAUUAGGCGCAACUUCGCCAUGUUGACCACCUUUUGAGAUUCCACACAAUUUAAGAGCAGUUUUGAAAAUGGUGUCCCAUGAUGAGUGGCAGCGAGCGUUUUUCCGCGAUUUCUUCUAAACCGCUCAUCGAAAUGAAGCAAAUGAUACACCGUUGGAAAUAUAUCGCCGAGGCGCAUCUUUUAUAUAUCUAUUAUUUUCUCUAAUUCGUUACUGUUUAAGAGCAAUUUUGAAUUUAUUAAAUCGCGAAAUUCUGUUUUUGAUUUUUUUAGAAAUUUUCGGUACUGUUUUCGCUCCAGUUUUCUAAUCGUUUGUCGAAACGAGGCGUAUGAUACGCCAUUGGAAAGCUAUGAACAAGGCGCAACUUUCAUAUGUUGAAAUAUUUUUGAGAUUCCUUACGGUGUUUAAUUAAUUUUGAAAAUCGUGCGACUGACGUCGAGAGGCAGCGGCUGUUUUUUCAUGAAAUUUUUACGAACCGCUGGUCGGAAUAAUUCAAAUCAUACGCCGUUGGCAAGAUAUCGACGAGACGCAACUUUUUCAUGUAAAACACUCUUUCUAAUUCCUUACGGUUUAAGAGCAGUUUUGAUUUUACCGAAAAGCGGACACUCUGUUUUUCGCGAGACCAAAAUCGUCGUAUGUACUACAUCAGACAGAAGAACGCACUGCUUCAGACAAAAUACCGCAGUGUAUCAGAUGGGCAAGUGCACUGCAUGGUUUCUUUUUGUUUAGACGUAUUUUUUCUCAGACGAGGAAAGAAAAACGCACUGCUUCAGACGAAAUACCGCACUUCAUUAGAUGGGCAAGUGCACUACAUGGUUUCUUUGUUUAGACGUAUUUUUUCUUGGACGGGGAAAGAAGAACGCACUGCUUCGGACGAAAUACCGUACUUCACUGGAUAGACAAGUGCACUGCAUGUUUUUUUUGUGGAACGCAAAUUUUCUCAAACGAGGUGCAGUGCACUUCACGCCGAGUGUUGGUGAACCGCAAUACUACAAACAGUGAAUCUCAAGACUAGCAAAUUUUCCCAAACAAGGUGGAGUGCACUUCACGUCGGGCGUUGGUAAACCGCAAUACUAUGAAAAGUGAAUCUCAUGACAACCGUAAACGGACCGCGACACUACCCAAAGUGAACCACGUGAGUUUUUUUCAAAAUUUAAUAUUUUUUAUGUGUAGUCCCGGCGAAUGGACCGCAAUGACUAAUCAAGUGAACUACAUGUAAUGAGAAGUGAGCUUCUUCCGAGGUGUUUUCGUUUCGGAUCACCACGUGAACCACGAAGAAGUUUUAUUGUGAAAUUCAUGAGAGAAGAAAGUGAGCUUCAGAACAUACAUAUCCAUUCAUUAUUUUGCUACAGCCACACUCACAUCCUUAAUCCUUUUUUCACACAUAGUGAUCAACAAAGCUAUACACAGUGAACUCCAUCCUAUGAAAAAAUAGUGUGUGAGCCGGGCGGGGCACCUAGCCGAACUGGACCAGACCAUGUCCGGUGGCAAACCACGUUUUUUUUUCAACCCCAGGAUGCAAUCCCAACAUCGCCAGAAUGUACUGCACGUGCGCUCACUGCCGGAGUGACAAAGCUUAGUGAACUUCAAAGAUGUUUAUACCAAACAUUUAUGCAAUGCACUGCAACACACAUCUAGAGAAUUGCAAACAAUAUUAAAAAAGAAAGGCUCUAUAGUCCACGGACUCACACGCGAAUUACACCGAGCACAAAGUUAACUGCAAGGAUACUCUUCAAAAGCAAAAAAACAAAACUACUGGGGGAAAACAACACUUGGUCAUGGGACGGAGGCAACCUGUGGUCAGGGGAAGCAUCAAUG
RNAcentral lists this long non-coding RNA (49887 nucleotides) under Triticum aestivum (bread wheat). RNAcentral describes it as "long non-coding RNA (TAES_LNC025563)". The record is from RNAcentral. Lineage: Eukaryota; Viridiplantae; Streptophyta; Magnoliopsida; Poales; Poaceae.